CAGUGCUGAUUAGAUAAACUGCAUCAAGAAGAAAAAUGGUAUGUACAUAUCAUCAUCUCUUAUGUAUAAUAAUUAAAAAUAUGAAAUAAUAAAAUGAUAUUAAAAAUUUAGUUUAUCUAGAAAAAUAUUCAAAAUUCUUAUUUUUUUAUAUUUUAAUUAUAAUUUUUAUGGUAAUUGAAGAUAUAUUCUUCUAUUCUGUUAUUUUAUCAAUAUUAUAUCAAUCUCUAACUCUAUGGGUGAAAAAGAAAAGAAAAAAGAAUGUAAAAAUUAUUAUUUUAUAGAAAUAAAUACCUCACGUGAUGUUGGCUCCUAUUAUUUUGGGAUCAAUUUAUAAUGUGGAUGGAGGGAAUGUGGCGCACUUUAUAGAAAUCCUCUCCUUCUCUUCCAUCUAUCACUUUAAUCCUUUCUUCCAAUGACGAAGGCAUUAGCCUUAAAUUCGAUUCUUCGAGAGUAGUAAUGUACCUCAAUCCUUCUGGAAGCAUCCUUAAACUCUCAACCUUGACCAACUCCAAUUCUCGAAGGCAUGGCAUUGCACCUUCUUCUAUUUCCCACUCCUCCAACUCAAAUAACGAAGACAUUUGAAGAUAAUCAAGUUUAGGAAAUCCAUUUUCAGAGCACACCAUUUUACUCCCAAUAUAUGCUCUUUUCAAAUGGAGAAUCCUCAAAUGACAUAGCUUUUCUAAUACCGCCAUUGGAUCUUGGCUCAGCUCACAGUCAACCAAAGUUAAUUUGACAAUAUUUGAUGGAAGAAAUUUCAAAACAUGACCGUUCGGAUGUGGCUCAUCUUUUAUCGGACCCAGUAAUUUCAGUUUGGAGAGGUGAUAAUAUUGAGAAAGGGGUUCUAAGUCUAGGUGUGAGCCAUCAGAAAAACGUAAGGACACUGACCUAAGGCGUUGCAAUUUGGCUAGCAAGAUUAGGGUAGGCUUCACAUAUUCUGCUCUGGUAAAUGCUAUUCCUAAACUCUGAAUAUUAGUCCACCUAAGCACCGCAUUAUUUUCAAUCGCCUUCUCAUCCACCUCUAUGAACUUCAAAGUUUCAAUAUUUUUUGAAGUGAACCCUUACCGCCAACGAAAUCCAUCUACGUGGAAUUUCUCAACCGAUUUUAUUACAAUAUGCCUUAAACGUUCCAACUUAAACACACCAUCUGGAAUUACAAUGUCAUCACAAAACUUGAUGUAUAAAGUGUAAAGAUUCUUCAACCUGCCAAAAGAUCGCGGCAAAAUCAUUUUGUAAUUGUAGUAUGUUGCGGAAAGGAUCGAUUCGAGAACUCCGAUAUGACUACAAGUAAAUUGACCGGAACGAAAAAUAAAGUGAACACAAGGAUUUACGUGGUUCGGCUUUAAUGCCUACGUCCACGAGCAGAGGCGAAAAGAAAUUUCACUAUAACAAGAUGAAGAUUACAAGUGUUUUACACUCAAGACACAACCCGAGAACCUCACAACUCUCAACCCCUAUAGAAAACCCGAAAGCUAAAAUCCUAGCUUUCAAAGAACAAGCUUUGCUCUCUCUUGGUUUGGGAUGAUCAAUAUGGCUAAUGAACCUCUCUAUUUAUAAGAGAGUUCAAGGACAUAAUUGUCCAAAACUUUGGCAAAGAUUUGUGGUUGAAAAUGGACACCAACAACCAUCCACUAAACCACUACCACCAACAACCCACUACCAACAACAACAAUCCACUACCAAUUUUAAGCCAUUUCUUAACAAAUCUCCACCUUGGCUUGAAAUUUACCAAGCUGAACAUCAUAGUGAAUUCCUCGAACUGGAUCACCUCUUCCAAACGCCUCUCUGGCGCUAAUCAAUCCCGAAUACCUAUCAAGUCCAAGCAAUGCUUGAACUUAUAUGCAGGGAUCACCUUAGUUAACAUAUCUGCAGGAUUCUUCUCGGUAGCAACCUUGCUGAUAACAAUGUCACCUUGCGUAACAUGUUCCCGAACAAAAUGAUAUCUGACAUCAAUGUGUUUGGUCCGUUCAUGAAACAUCUGAUUUUUAGUCAGAUGUAUGGCACUCUGGCUAUCGCAAAAUACAACAGUGAAAUCCUGUUGUAAACCCAAACUGCUUACUAGACCUUUCAUCCACAAUGCUUCUUUCACUGCUUCUGCUAACGCCAUAUAUUCCGCCUCAGUCGUAGAUAAGGCUACGGUAGACUGUAACACAGCUUUCCAACUAAUGGCUCCUCCAGAAUAAGUGAAAACAUAACCCGUCAGAGAUCUUCUUUUGUCCAGAUCUCCAGCAUAAUCAGAGUCCACAUAGCCCGUGACACUGCUAGUGCAGUCACUCUGAUCAUAUACCAAGCAUAAAUCUGCAGAACCUCUCAAGUACCUGAGAAUCCAUUUCACGGCCUGCCAGUGUUCCUUGCCAGGACAACUCAUGUAUCUGCUGACCACACUAACUGCAUGUGAAAUGUCUGGACGAGUGCAAACCAUUGCAUACAUCACGCUUCCAACUGCACUCGAGUAUGGAAUGUGAGACAUUUGCUGCUUUUCUUCAUCAGAUUGUGGUGACAACUCUGCAGAGAGUUUGAAAUGUGGUGCCAACGGAGUACUCACAGUUUUCGCUUUAUCCAUGCCGAAGCGUUGAAGAACCUUUUCAAUGUAGUUCUUCUGCGACACACGAAGCUUGCCCGCCUUGCGAUCUCUGUGAAUAUCCAUGCCCAAAAUUUUCUUGGCAGCACCCAGAUCCUUCAUCUCGAACUCACCACUCAACUGCGACUUUAACUUGUUGAUUUCCGACAUGUUUUUGGAAGCAAUUAACAUGUCAUCAACAUACAGCAACAAAUAAAUGUGCGAACCAUCUGAGAGCUUCCGAUGAUAGACACAAGCAUCAUAGUCACAUCUUGUGUAACCAUGCUGAAUCAUGAAGCUAUCAAACCGCUUGUACCACUGCCUUGGGGAUUGUUUCAAUCCAUAUAAAGACUUCUUUAAUAGACAGACAUGGUCUUCUUUACCAGGAACUGUAAAACCCUCUGGUUGACGCAUGUAGAUUGUUUCCUCGAGCUCACCAUGCAAGAACGCCGUUUUUACGUCAAGCUGCUCAAGUUCUAGAUCAGACUUGGCCACCAUGGCAAGUAAUACACGAAUGGAAGAAUGCUUUACGACUGGGGAGAAAACUUCAUUGUAGUCAAUCCCCUCUUUCUGAGUGAAGCCUUUAGCAACCAAUCGUGCCUUGAAUCUAGUUGCUUCAACCCCUAGGAUGCCUUCCUUUUUCUUGAAGACCCAUUUGCAACCAACUAUCUUCUGGUUACUUGGCGGCUUAACCAACUCCCAAGUAUGGUUCUUGUGAAGAGAUUCUAUCUCCUCACUCAUAGCAAUUGCCCACUGUGCCGACUCAUCACACGUGACAGCCUCAUUAUAACUGGAAGGUUCUAUACCAAUGGACUCCGCCACACUGAGCGCGAAAGACACCAGAUUAGCGUAACGCGGAUUUGGUUUGAUUUGUCUCUUCGUUCUUCCAGUGGCAAUGCUAUAUGGUUUUUCUUGAGGUGACUCAUCUUCAUCGGAAUCUUGCACCUCAACUUGAUCAUCCUGGACUGAAGUACCUUCCAUAGGAAUUGGAGCGUCCACCUGACACUCCACCUGCUUCUCAACACCGUGAUCUCCCAUUCUAUCUGACUCCUCCUUUUCCCGGGAAUUUGUGGUGGAUCGAAGCAUGGAUGACUCAUCAAAAGUCACAUCUCUGCUGAUGAUGAACUUGGACGAAACCGGAUCAGGACACCACAACCUGUAUCCUUUCACCCCUUGGCCGUAUCCAAGAAAUAUGCAUUUCUUCGCCCUCGGUUUGAGUUUUCCCUCAUUUACAUGAGCAUACGCAGGGCAGCCAAACACUCUUAAACCAGAGUAAUCAGCAGGAGAACCAGACCAUACUUCCUCAGGAGUCUUCAGCUCAAUAGCUGUUGACGGAGAUCUGUUAACCAAAUAACAAGCAGUAUUAACAGCUUCAGCCCAAAAUUCUUCACCGAGCCCAGCAUUUGAUCGCAUGCAACGAGCUCGCUCCAAGAGAGUUCUAUUCAUGCGUUCUGCAACUCCAUUUUGUUGUGGUGUUCGACGAACAGUGCGGUGUCUCACUAUUCCUUCAUUUUUGCAGAACUCAUUGAAUUCACCUGAGCAAAACUCCAAGCCAUUAUCCGUCCGGAAUCGCUUGAUCUUCUUUCCUGUUUGAUUUUCGAUCAAAGCUUUAAAUUGCUUGAAGUUGAUGAGAACCUCAUACUUGCUCUUCAGAAAAUACACCCAAACCUUUCUCGAGUAAUCAUCGAUAAAGGUAAGCAGAUAUCUGUAACCACCUUUAGAAAUUGUCGGAGAAGGCCCCCAAAGGUCAGAAUGGAAGUAAUCCACUGUGCCUUUUGUCUUGUGAAUCCCAGUGCUGAACUUUACCCGAGUCUGCUUACCGAAGACGCAGUGCUCACAGAAAUUCAACUUUCCUGUACACUGCCCAGACAAUAAUCCUCGUUUGCUUAGCACCGAUAAGCCUCUCUCGCUCAUAUGCCCGAGCCGCAUAUGCCAUAACUUCGUGGUGUCAGAAUCUAGAUCAUCUGAUGAUGACACUCCCGCAACACCUGUAACCGAGGAACCAUCGAGGAAGUAAAGGCCCCGCUCCAAAUUACCACGUAUCACAGUCAAAGCACCCGAGAAUACCUUGAGAACUCCACCUUCAGCAGAGUACCGAAAGCCUUUCUUGUCCAACGUACUCAAAGAGAUCAAAUUUUUCUUCAUUUCUGGAAUGUGCCGAACAUCAGUUAGAGUUCUAACAAUACCGUCAAACAUCUUUAUACGAACUGUGCCAAUCCCCAUGACUUGACAUGCGUGGUCAUUUCCCAUUAGUACUGAACCAGAAUGCUUCUCGUAUGUUGAGAAUGCAUCUUUCGAAGUACUUAUAUGAAAUGUAGCUCCCGUAUCAAGAAUCCAUCUCCCACCAGCGUAAGAGUCGGAUACUGCAAGAACGAUCUCGGCAUCACUUGAAGAAUCUGCAUCAGCUACAUUCGCACGAUCAUUUUGUUGCUCCUGUGAUUCUGAUUUCUCCUUCCUUUUCGGACAAUCUACCUUCAUGUGCCCGUACUUCUUACAGUAGUAGCACUGUAUUCUCUUCUUGGACUGCGAUCUAGGAUGGCUUUUACUUGAACUUCCACCCUUUGCCUUGGAUCUUCCUCGAGCAACCAAGCCUUCGCCUUCAUUGUUUUCGACCACCUUACCAGUGAUUUUCUUCCUCAACUCACUGGAACUUAAGGCAUUUUUCACCUCCUCUAGAGUCAGGUCAUCACGACCGUACAUCAUUGUAUCAACAAAAUUCUCAUACGAGGGAGGCAAAGAACACAAAACAAUUAUUGCUUGGUCCUCAUCAUCGAUUUUGUUAUCGAUAUUAUUCAAAUCCAUGAUAAUGGAAUUGAAUUUAUCCAGGUGCUGGGAAACAGGUGUACCUUCCUCCAUCUUCAGGGCAUAGAGUCUUUGCUUGAGGUAGAGCCGGUUCGUCAAUGACUUCGUCAUGUACUUGCUCUCUAACCGGAGCCACAAACCGGACGCGGUUUUCUCAUCCGCUACUUCUCGUAGCACUUCAUCUCCUAGACAUAGCAGAAUAGCACUAUGUGCUCUUUCUAGCAUGUCAUCCUUUUGCUCUUCCGAAAGCGUGCUUGGUAAUUUAUCUUUACCAGACAAUGCUUUUAGCAAUCCUUGUUGAACCAGCACUGCCCGCAUCUUGAUGCGCCAUAAACUGAAACUAUUUUUCCCGGUAAAUUUCUCGACAUCAUACUUAGUCGAUGAAACACUUGUAGCCAUAAUUUGGAACCUUUGAAUGAAUGAUAAUAUUUUCUUCCUGAUGUGAAAGAUCAGACAAAGCUGCAGUCACAGGGCAAUUCAGAAAAUAUUAUCACUCCUUCAACUACGCUCUGAUACCAAUUUGUUGCGGAAAGGAUCGAUUCGAGAACUCCGAUAUGACUACAAGUAAAUUGACCGGAACGAAAAAUAAAGUGAACACAAGGAUUUACGUGGUUCGGCUUUAAUGCCUACGUCCACGGGCAGAGGCGAAAAGAAAUUUCACUAUAACAAGAUGAAGAUUACAAGUGUUUUACACUCAAGACACAACCCGAGAACCUCACAACUCUCAACCCCUAUAGAAAACCCGAAAGCUAAAAUCCUAGCUUUCAAAGAACAAGCUUUGCUCUCUCUUGGUUUGGGAUGAUCAAUAUGGCUAAUGAACCUCUCUAUUUAUAAGAGAGUUCAAGGACAUAAUUGUCCAAAACUUUGGCAAAGAUUUGUGGUUGAAAAUGGACACCAACAACCAUCCACUAAACCACUACCACCAACAACCCACUACCAACAACAACAAUCCACUACCAAUUUUAAGCCAUUUCUUAACAUAGUAUAACUUCAAGUAUCUCAAAUGUUGGAGAUUACCAAUUUCAGUCGACACACGCCACCACUUAUUGCCCCAUUUUGCAAGAGUCAACACCCUUAAAAAUUUGAAGCUUCUGUAUUUUGAAAUGCAUAAAUCUGGCCAUCCCUCCUUCUGAGAAAACAACAAAGAGCGUAAUUUUGGAUGCUCUCCCUUAAAAUUCAAAUAAUAUAUCUCUCCACUAGGAUGAAUAGCAAUUCUUCGUAGCAUAGAUUAUGCCAAUGUCACUCCAGGUACAAGCGGUGGAUGUUGAAUAAUUUCCAAGAACUUCUGCUCCCUUGCUUUCUUCGUGCACAAGUCCCUCAAGAGAUCAUGUACUCGACAUGUCUCCACAUUUGUUCCUGUAUAGUCUCGCCUGCUAACUUGAACCAAGCUCCUAUCUAUAAGCUCUUCUAGGAAUAUUUCGCCUAAAUCCUCCAUGAAGAAUUCUUCGUUUUCCGGAAUGAAACCUUCAGCGAUCCAUAAACGAAUGAGUUCUUUUUUCGGUAUCUCCCAAUCUUCUGGAUAAUGACUAAGAUACAAAAAGCAGGGUUUUAAAGGAUAAGGCAAGUCAUUGUAGCUUGAAACCAAAAUUCGGUUCACUGCACCAUAUUGACGAUCUUGGUGUGGGAGCUCAUUUAAGUGUCCAUGGAUGUUUUUAUGAACCAUCUCCCUUGAGCCACGGACUGUUUUGUUGCCAGCAAGCAACCCAACACAACAAUUGCUAAAGGCAAGCCUCCACAUUUUUUCACCAUCUCUUUUCCAAGCUUCACAAAUUCUUCUGAGCAGCAUUGAGAACCCAUUUUGCUCCGUGGGAAUGCUUUCUUACACAGAAGAUUCCAACUUUCAUCAUCCGUAAGAAAUGAGAGCUCCAUGGGAGUGUUGCAAGAAUCGGCUCGUGAAGCCACAUUCCUGUUGCGUGUUGUGAACAAUAUUUUGCUUCCCUUUCUUCCUCGUGGAAAAGCAGGUUUAAGAAUAUCCCAGUCCUCGCUUCUCCAAAUAUCAUCGAGGACCACCAAAUACCGCUUUUCUUUCAAAGCAUCAAAAUGCGUUCUCCUCAGCUCAAUCUCGUCCAUUUUCUCAAUUUUCUCUCGUUCAUCGUUAGAAGGAGAGAGAACUUUCUUCAAGACACUAAGCAAAACUUCUCUCGGCUUACAUUGUUGAGAGAUAGAAAACCAAGCCAAGAAAUCAAAAUGGCGUCUCACAUCAACAUGAUUAUAUACUUUUCUGGCAAGAGUUGUCUUACCGAGGCCCCCCAUUCCGACUAUGGGAACCACGGCGUGGGGUCUAUCUUCUUCAAACAUCAACAUGGUCAUGACAUCCUUCGUGCUAACUUCCAAGCUAACAACGUCCUCUUCCUCGACAUGUGAGUAUGUCCUUCUAAACUGUUGCUGCACCUUGAAAAUUGAGCUAGAGCCUUCUCCAUCAUCGGGUAUUUCAAAAGCUGGAAGAUUCUCGGAAAUGUUUUGGAGCUUGGUCUUGAUUGCUUUGACCUGCAACCCAAUUUUGUUCAGAUGAUAAGGUUUGGUGAAAAUGGAGGUGAAUCUCUUGACAAUCCCUUGAAAACCUCGUUGAUAUGCUGUUUUAAGAAUAAAAGAGUCGAUGACAUCUUCAGCAUCAUAAGCAAGAUUUCUGAUUUCCGACACCCGAUUCUGGAAACGCGCAUCUUGUUCAAGAUUGCGAUCCGCGUCCUUCAAGAAACACUGCAUUCGCUUCAGUUCAGCCCUUAGGCUCUCAACUUGAUCUUUUACAUCUUUGAGGAAGACAGCUUCAUGGAUGAGUAAAUCUGAAAUUCUUUCAACAGCUAAGGACACAAUAGCCUCUUCCAUUUCUCCUGCUGGUCCAGAACAGAUUCCACAAACUGAUCUGCAAGUAUUAGUAGAAUAUUUUAUGUAUUAGUGGAGAAGUAUUUCUCUUUAUCAGAAGUUUUGAAGAGCUGUUUUUGGGUGUGAGGUUGGUAAUUACUGUUCUUUGGACAGCAAAUAGCUAAACUUAUUAUUAUUAUUAUGGAACGUAACUUUUUUUAAAUAAAAUAACAUAUAUUCAAACUUAACAUGUGGAUAACCCUUGUUCUAAAUUAGUUGAAGCGAUCUUGUUUCAAUUUUAAACACUUCAUAUUUCCUUAAUGCCAUCGACUAACCACAUAACUAAUUACUAUUAGCAUCUUUAAUGACUCCUCCAAUUGCAACCGAGUGAGCGCUAGACGAAAUUGCACCAUCUGUAUUAAGUUUAAUCUAACCACUUUCCGGAACUAACCAUUUUGAAUAAAAAGCCAUAGAAUUCGAAUGGAACAUAGCCAUUGAGAGCGGUGAAUAACUUCUUUACCAACUGAUAUCUAUAUCUACCACAUCCUGAACAGAGCUAUAACUAUCGGAAAGCACAAACAUAUUCUUGUUUUUCUAUAAUAACCAAAAUAUUUUUAUUGAUUAAUAAUAAUAUUUAUAAAUAAGCUAUAGAGUGAAUCAAAUUUACUUUGAUAUCAAUAGAUGUUGAUUUAAUAAUGAAAAAUUCAUAACAAUUAUAAAAUAAUUUCUUCCAAUUAAAAAGCAAUUUUUAAAAAGGACAAAAAGAAAACUCGCUUUUUUUUCUUAUAUCUUUUUAAGAAAGAAAAGGUUAGGUGGACACAAAAUUCCAAAAGCACAAGAGAUUUUCCACAUUGAAAACAAAAGCUGUUUUCAAUUUCCACACUGGAUUCCACACAAAAUCGAUCAAGUAAAAUGGCAUGUGAAGAAAAGUUAUAAUCACUCUCAUUAGUAGGCCAACCCUCAUAACAGUCAUUUCUCAUAACUGAUUGGAUAAGGGUGAGUUUAGAUCGGCGAUUUAUUUAUUUGCUGUUAGUGUAAAAACAGUGGUGGCGAUGAGAUUAAAUACUGUAGCAAUACUGUAGCGUAAGAUAAAAUGUAAGUUAAUCACACUGCACCGCACUGCAUUGCACCUAAUCGCCUAUCCAAACCCACCUGAAGACCAAAAGAAAAAAGGUUUGUUACUUGGGUAAAUUAUACUUAAGGUCACUAAAUUGUUAAUAAAUUUAUGUUUUGAUCAUUUAACUUUAAAAGUAAUAAAAUGAUGAUUAAACUAUUUGAAGGUUUUUAUUUUAGUCACUGAUCUAUUCAACAAUUUUUAUUUAAGUCAUUAGAGUACUAUUAGUUUUUUUUAAAAAGUCUGUCUAGCUAGGUUAAAGCGACAAUUCGAUGAAUGGUACAAUGGAUCAAUACUCAUCCAUGAGUAGAAUAACAUAUACUAGAUCAAGUCAAUUUGAUGGUUGGUGCCGAAGAACGGAAAACAAAACUAUUUAGAUUUGGAUUCGUAGAUACGUGACAUUUGAAAUUGUUUCAUGAAAAAAAAAACUUAAACUAUAGAAAAGCAGGGGUAGAAGAGUUAGCGGAUAAACAAUGAAGGCCAUAUAUAUAGUAGUGAUUUUAACAACUUAAUGACUUAAAGAAUACUUUUGAAUAAUUUAGUGACAAUUUUGUAACUUUUUAAUAUUAAAUGACUAAAACAUAAACUUACUAGUAGUUUAAUGAAUUUGAAUUUAGUUUACUCCAAUUAUUUAUCAUUUUUACUGUGUUGUUUUUUGAUACAUUACCUAAAUUACCCAUCAGUAAACUUCACAAUUCCAAAAAGUGAAGGAACGCGUUUAUUAACGUUCAAACCCAUGUCCUUCAAUUCUUUUUUGCCCGGCCAAUAUAAAAAUUUUAUCCAGAACGAAAGGACGACUUGGAAAACAACAGUACAAAAGAAUGUUGAAAGAAAAUAGGAAAAAAAUUGAGAAAAUAAAACAAUCACGAUUUUUUUUUAAUUUUAAUGGUGAAAAAAAAGGUUUUAAGAAGAGAAAUUUAUUUAUUUGAGGGAGUUCCAUAUAUAAUUUAAAUUUAGAAUUUCAAAGUUCAUAACAACUCAAUCUUAUCCGUGAAAAAAUAGUUGUUCAAUAAUUUUUACUUGGUUUGUUCCUACAACCGUUAUAUUAGAGUUUAUCAUGUAUGGAUCCAUGUUUGUUCUUCUUUUAGGGUGGGUUCGGAUGGGCAGUAGAGUACGGUGCAGCGGUGCAAUACGUUUGGUUUAUUUUUGUCUCACGUUAAAGUGUCGUUACAGUAUCUAAUCUCACCGCCACCUCUAUUAUUACACUAACACUAGGUAAACGCACCGCUCAUCUAAACGCACCAUUAAUUUAUCACAUAUGAUCGUCCCUUUCCUUUCCCUUUUAUAGAUAGUAAGAGGUGUUUAUUGGUUCGAAUUAAGUUUAUGUUUAUUUAAAAUUGAUCUAGUUUAGUAACUUAUUUUGUUAUGUCCAUUUAUAUUUAUAACAGGCAUAUGUUAGUCUAUUUUAAACCUAUAAUUUUUGAAUAUAUAUUAUUAUUAAUUUAAUAUUUAAUAUUUUUAAUAAUAUUUUUUAUUAAAAUUGAAAUUUAUACAAUAUUUUUUAUGUUUAAAUAAAAUUUAUACAAAACUCUAAAGUGGGUUAGGUUUAGAGGUGAUCAUGGGUUGGGCUACUUAGCCCGACCCGACGGCCCGUCCGAAAAAUAAGAGGGUUCGGGUAAAAAUAUAGGCCCGAAAUAUGAGUUUGGGCAAAAAAAGAUGCCCUUUUUCUAAAUGGGCUAGGCCUCGAGGUAAAACUUUUUUGGCCCGAGCCCAACCCAAAUUAUAUAUUAAAUAUAAAUUUGUUAUUUUUAAUCAAACAUACAUCUAAUUCUAGUUGGUUGAUUAUAUUUUACAGGUUUUUUAUGCUAUUUUAGUGUUGUAAAAUUUAAUAUGGGUAUGGUGGAAUCAAGUUUUUUAUUUUUAUUUUUACCUUAGUCCAUUUUUUAGAUCUUGUUUUUUUUUUCUUUUGAGAAAUAAAAAUAGAUGCCAUGAAACUUGAAAAUUAAAUACAACCUCUGCAUGGGUACUACGCAUCCUACUCUCCUACAUCCGUUAAUCGGUGGAUUAGUUCUUAAUUAAUGCAAAAGUUGUAUCAUACUCAAUUCCUACGGGACUUUAAUCAUCCGGCCUAAAAGAAACAAAGAGACAAUCUAAAAGAAUCAAACCCUAAAAAUCAACUACAUCCUAAUUUUUAGGGAAAAAAAAACCCUAUCAAUUUCUCCAACUACAUCCGGACUUUAUUCAGUUUUUUUAUAUAUAUAAGAUGGACGUUUGAGCUUAAAUAAAUAAUUGAACUCAUAAAUAGAGGCUUUUUUUAUAAAAAUAACUCAAAAAUUUUGAUUAUUUAUGAAAUUAAUCUAUUUUUUUAUUUAACAUGUAAAUGAUCUAAAAUCUGUGGUAAAAGUUGGUGGAGUCAAAGAGUUUGACGUCACCAACAUACCACGUCAGUAAUCCAGAUAAAAAUUUAUUUUUUUGGUAGAACCAUGUAAAAUGACGUCACCUGUAUAAAUAAUAAAAAAAUACAGCUAUUUUUAAAAAAAUUGGGGGACCUUAAAAAAACUUUUUUUUUUCCUGGUAAAGCUAAAUAAUUUGACGCUACCAAUUUCUAAAAUUACCUGCAUCAUCCAUUUUUGAAAUGUCGUUAUUUUAUGUCAUUUAUGUAUUUAAUAAAAAUAAAUAAUCAAAUUUUUUAAAUUAUUUUUUAUAAAAAAGCCUUAAUAGAUAAUUCAUCGAUUACCAAAUCAAUCAACCUAUUCAAUCAAACAAGACAGGUUUUAGCCUCACUCGGAAAAGCCACAGUCCACUCCCGUAGAGCAGCCAAAACAUAUUUAAUUAUUCAAAAGCCGUGUGCCGUUCGACUAAAACAAAUUUCCAAAUCAAGAAGCAAUUUUUUAAAAUAAAAACAAAAUUGCUUGUAGAAAAAGCUUUAGGUGGACACAAAAUUCCAAAAGCGCCAACAGAUUUUCCACACAUUGGGAAUAAAACUUGUUUGCAAUUUCUACAUUGGCAGCCAUACAAUAAAAUGGUAGGAAACUGACCCAAGGCGAUCCAAUAUGAUUAGCAACAGAAAGACUUAAUAUCUUUUGAACUCUUAAAUAUUAUUCCUCAACAUUAAAUAUGAGUCAACCUAAGUGCCUCAUUAUUUUCAAUAAACUUCUUAUUUACCAUCAUGCGCUUCAAAGUUUCAAUAUUUUUUUGAAGAAAAGCUUUGGCACAGGAGAAAACAACUUUUUUAACAAGGGUAUGUAUACCAUUUCAUCACAAAUUGCCUUAAACAUUCCAACUUGAAUACUACAUUUGGAAUUACAGAGUCAUAAUGGCAUUAGAGGUACAAAGUGUGUAAAUUCUUCAACUAAUUUCCAAUAGCCCAUGGCAAGAGUAUUUUGAGUUUGCAUCUUAACCUCAAAUGAUGGAGAUUACAAAUUUCACUUGACACAUGCCACUCCUCAACAUUCCUCGUAAGUUUCAAGAAUAGAAAACUAACGUGAAAUUCAGAAAUUGAAAGGGAAAGUUUGAAACAAAAAGAAUCAACAGAGGUAGAAAAAAACUAGCAGCAACAAAACUAAUGUGAAAACAAAAGAAGAGUGGAAAACAUGGGAAAGUGGGGAAGUUGGACAUAUGGGAUGGAGAGACGUGGGAGAAUUUUGGAGAAAUAUUUUUAAUUAAUUUUUUCUUAAAAAAUAUUAUCCUAACCAACAUAAUUUUUUUUGAUAACCUAUCAAUUUAUUCAUAAUUCGAAUUUAACUAAACCGCUAACACAUGGGCAGCACAUUUAGGGAGUUCCAAAAUUAAUUUUUGCUUUAUAAGGAUUCAAACACGAGAUCUCUAAGCAAGCUGAAACUUUAUUAUUAAACUAGUAAAUUCAUUCUUAUUAAUAAUUAAUAAAAAUAAUAUAUAAUCUAAAUAUUCAAGGAUAGGGGAUGGAACAAAAAUAACAAAUUAAAAAAAAAAAAGAUUUACCGUAACUUUUGUUUCAUCAGUAUGCUUGUCUCAUAUCAGAGUAAAACUGCUUACAAAUGUGAGGCUAAGAUUUUUACGUUUCAGAAACAUGUAUAUAAAUGCUUCUCGGUUGGUCGAAAAUGAAGCAUAUAACACGGUUAUCUUAGUACAUAGAGUUCCCUGAAUUUACUACAUUUCGAUUUGUGUAACCUUAUUAAAACAAGUCUUCAAUAUGAGUCCCUACUUUGUUGUUAUUGUUUAUAGGAAGAAUAAAUUAUGUGAAACUCAACUUUCUUAAGCACCCUAACUUUUGUGAAUUUAGAUUAAAAGGGAGUUUAAUUCACAAAAUAUUUGAUUAACCUGACAAUUAGUGCAUUACUAGAUAUGUUACAGUACCGCGUUUGGUUCAAGGUAAAAGUUGAAAUAAUUCUAGACUCAAAGAUAUUUGAUUAUCGGUUUGUUCUUAGUAUAUAGUAAAUGAGUAAAAAGUUUUGAUUAAAAAAACUUUAUGGAAUUAUUAAUAUCAUUAAUUAAACAGUUAAAAAUUUUAAAAUGAUUAAUGUCGACUCUUUUUAUAAAAUAUUCGGGUGGGGAUUGGUAUAAAUCUGUUAAAAAAAUUUAAUAUUCAUCAUUCCACUUAAGUCAAGAUUAAUAUAAAUCUGUUUUAUACAUUUUGUUAUAAGAAAACGCACAUAUUUUUGUUAUGUCAUAUAAAUAUACAUGUUAUAUGUUUUGAUUAACAUUGUAUCAUCUAAUUUUUAAUUGAAAUAGUGAGUUGUAAAUUUAAAGGGGUUGUUUUACUAUUUAAAUAAUGAAUCUAACCAUUUAACAUCUAUUGAGUUAUUUAGAAUUUCUUUCUUCGGUUUAAAUUGAUUAAUUUCAAUUAAAUAGAUGCAAAUGAAGAACCAAUUAAUAAGAAGAUAAAUUUUUGAAAAAAUAAGCAAAUUGGGAGGCCGGAAGCCAGCAUUAGAUAUAUAGCAAACAAUCACUUCAUUCAAAGCUCAUACUAUAUGGCAAUCCAAUUCUUAUAAAAAAUACAUACACACACUUAAUGAAAUUAGAUAUCUGGGCAAAGUGCAUUCCAGUGCUGAUUUGGUAAACCUACAUCAAGAAAAAAAAUGGUAUGUAUAUAUCAUCAUCUCUUAUGUAUAAUAAUUAAAAAUAUGAAAUCAUAAAACGAUAUUAAAAAUUUAGUUUUUCUAGAAAUAUAUUCAAAAUUCUUACUUUUUUAUAUUUUAAUUAUAAUUUUUAUGGUAAUUAAAGAUAUAUUCUUCUAUUCUGUUAUUUUAUCAAUAUUAUAUCAAUCUCUGACUCUAUGAGUGAAAAAGAAAAGAAAAAAGAGCCUAAAAAUUAUUAUUUUAUAGAAAUAAAUACCUCACGUGAUGUUGGCUCCUAUUAUUUUGGGAUCAAAUUAUGUGGAUGGAGGGAAUGUGGCGCACUUUAUAGAAAUCCUCUCCUUCUCUUCCAUCUAUCACUUCAAUCCUUUCUUCCAAUGACGAAGGUAGUCCUCUUAAAUUCAAUUCUUGGAGAGUAGUAAUGUACCUCAAUCCUUCUGGAAACAUCCUUAAACUCUCAACGUUGACCAACUCCAAUUCUCGAAGGCAUGGCAUUGAACCUUCUUCUAUUUCCCACUCCUCCAACUCAAAUAACCAAGACAUUUGAAGAUAAUCAAGUUUAGGAAAUAUUGGAACCCACCCAUUGUUUGAAAAGUCAAAAAGGGUGGGCACUGAAAGUAGAAAGUAAAAUUGGUUGGCAAGUUGGGUUAAAAGUUGGCAUGGGAUAAUUGCAAUUUUGGUCCCUAAUUGUAUAGGGACAUUGCAAGUUGAUCCUUGAACCUCAACUAUAAAUAGGCCUAACCAUUUCUUACUUUCUUCAUCCCACACUUGCCAUUCUCUACUUAAGGCAAUUGUUCUCUCUCCCUAUUUGUAAACUUUCACUUGUAUUUUUGGAGUGAAAUAUAUUUGGUAGUGCCCGAGGACGUAGGCAAAAUUUGCUGAACCUCGUUAAAAUUCUAGUGUUCUUUAUUUUUGUUCUGCAUAUUUUGCAAGUGUUAUUGUAGUGAUUUAUUGUGCUAUUAAAUUACGAUAGAGGGAUAUUCUGGCUAGGAAAGAUCUGGUAUGUAAGCGAUCCUCGUGAUCCACCUCUCUUUCUUGGGAAUUGAACUUAGUGUGAUUUUUCAAUACAAUAAUUUUACUCUUUCACACGCUUCCGCGCAACAAUUGGUACCAGAGCCAGGUUCGUACUUGGGGAAUACGACCGUUUACGGUACUAUUCACGUAUACGGUACUAUUCACGUAUACAGUACUAUUCACGUAUACGACACUAUUCACGUAUACGGUACUGUUCACGUAUACAGUAGUUGGGAUUGAGGAGAAAAAUGGCAGCAGCAUCGUCAUCAGCAAGGACUACUGUGACAAAUGCAAAAUUUGAAGUAGAGAAAUUUGACGGUACCAAUAAUUUUGGUAUGUGGCAGUGUGAGAUCCUGGAUGUCUUAUGUCAGCAAGAGCUGGAUAUAGCCCUUGAAGAAAAACCUGACAAGAUGGAUGACAAGGAGUGGGCCAAGAUCAAUAGACAGGCGUGUGGUACAAUCCGCCUAUGUUUGGCCAAAGAGCAGAAGUACUCCGUCAUGAGGGAGACAUCAGCGAAGAAGCUGUGGGAUACAUUGGAAGAAAAGUUUCUAACGAAAAGUCUUGAAAAUAGGCUUUAUAUGAAAAAGAAACUUUUUCGGUUCACGUAUGCACCCGGUAUGUCGAUGAAUGACCAUGUGAACUCAUUCAAUAAAAUUUUAGCAGACUUGCUAAAUUUGGAUGAGAAAUUUGAAGAUGAAGACAAGGCAUUAUUGUUGUUGAAUUCCCUUCCUGAUGAAUAUGAUCAUCUUACCACCACAUUGCUUCAUGGGAAAGAUUCAAUCACAUUUGAUGCAGUCUGUAGUGCGUUGUAUAGAUCUGAGACUCGAAAGAAAGAUAAAAGAGAUCACAGAGAUACAACUGCAGAAGUCUUAACAGUAAGAGGUCGUUCACACAGCAGCAAACCUGGUAGAAGGGGUAAGUCCAAAGGGAGACCCGCCAAAGAUGAAUGUGCCUUUUGUCGUGAGAAAGGGCAUUGGAAAAAGAAUUGUCCUAAGUUACAAAAGGGCAAGUCUAUUUCUAAUGCAUGUGUAGCGGAGCAUGAUGAGGAGUCAGACUUUAGCUUGGUUGGCAUGGCAAUCGCAUGUCAAACGGAUGAGUGGAUAUUGGAUUCGGGAUGUACUUACCAUAUGUGUCCUAAUAAGGACUGGUUUUCUAGUCUUGAAGAACUAGAAGGUGGAGUUGUUUUUAUGGGCAAUGAUAGUGCCUGUAAGACAAUGGGUGUAGGUACAAUCAAAUUGAAGAACCAUGACGGCUCAAUCCAAGUUCUGACAGAUGUUCGCUAUGUACCCAGCUUGAAGAAAAAUCUCAUCUCAUUAGGGGCCCUAGAAUCUAAAGGGCUCACAAUCACUUUGAGAGAUGGAUUACUAAAGGUAGUAGCUGGGGUAUUGACGGUGAUGAAAGGCACUAGAAGAAAUAACUUGUACUAUUUAAAUGGAAGUACAGUUAUUGGAUCAACAUCAACAGCUUCUACGAAAGAUGCAGAUUCAGAGGCUACCAGGUUAUGGCAUAGGCGAUUGGGACAUGCUGGUGAAAAAGCUUUGCAGACUUUGGCGAAGCAAGGCUUGUUGAAAGGUGCAAAUUCUUGCAAAUUGGAAUUCUGUGAACAUUGUGUUCUGGGCAAGCAGACGAGGGUAAAAUUUGGUUCAACAAUUCACAAUACGAAAGGAAUUCUGGACUAUGUUCACAGUGAUGUGUGGGGACCUACCAAAGUGGCUUCUUUGGGAGGUAUGCACUAUUUUGUCACUUUUCUUGAUGAUUAUUCAAGAAAAGUAUGGGUGUAUCUAAUGAAAAGAAAAAAUGAAGUUUUGGAUGCAUUUCUGAAGUGGAAGAAGAUGGUGGAGACUCAGACAGGUCGAAAGGUCAAACGACUUCGAUCAGAUAAUAGUACUGAGUACAAAAAUGAUCCAUUUCUACAAGUAUGUCAAGAUGAGGGCAUUGUGCGACACUUCACUGUUCGAGAUACACCACAGCAGAAUGGGGUGGCAGAACGCAUGAAUCGGACUAUACUGGAGAAAGUUCGAUGUAUGUUGUCCAAUGCUGGAUUGAGCAAGGAAUUUUGGGCUGAGGCAGUUACAUAUGCGUGCCAUCUAAUUAACCGAUUGCCAUCAGCUGCAAUAAAUGGAAAAACUCCUAUGGAGAUGUGGACUGGUAAACCUGCUACUGAUUAUGAUUCUUUACAUGUUUUUGGUUCCACUGCAUAUUAUCAUGUAAAAGAAUCUAAGUUAGACCCAAGAGCAAAGAAAACAUUAUUCAUGGGUAUAACUGGUGGUGUAAAAGGAUACCGUCUCUGGUGUCCUGAUACAAGGAAGAUUGUUUUCAGUAGAGAUGUAACUUUUGAUGAAUCAACCAUGAUGAAGAACGAGGAUUCACAAAAGGAUGACAAAACCAGUAGUACUUUGCAGCAGGUGGAGUUUGAAAAGGUUAAUGAUGAUCCAGCUAAUAUUGAAAGAACAAAUGAUGAAGAAGUUUUGACCCAAGAACUUCUACAGCAACAAGAUUCAAUUGCAUAUAGGAGGCCAAGAAGAGAGAUUCGUAAGCCUGCUCGCUUUGACGAUGUGGUGGCCUAUGCACUUCCAAUUGCAGAUGAUGAUGUUCCUUCCACUUACACAGAAGCAAUAAGUAACUCUGAUGGUGUAAAGUGGAAGCAAGCUAUGAAUGAAGAAAUACAGUCUCUUCAUAAAAAUAGGACUUGGGAGUUGGUGAGACUGCCCAAGGGAAAGAAGGCAAUUGGAUGCAAAUGGGUAUAUGCAAAGAAGGAAGGAUUUCCUGGUAAAAAUGAAAUUCGAUACAAGGCUAGAUUGGUAGCAAAGGGUUACGCUCAGAAAGAAGAAAUAGACUACAAUGAAGUGUUUUCUCCAGUUGUGAAGCAUUCGUCUAUUCGGAUUUUGCUAGCCUUGGUUGCGCAAUACAAUCUUGAACUAGUUCAGCUUGAUGUGAAGACAGCAUUUUUACACGGUGAUUUGGAAGAGGAAAUCUAUAUGACUCAGCCUGAUGGAUUCAAUGUUGCUGAUAAAGAAAAUUGGGUUUGCAAACUGACAAAGUCGCUUUAUGGAUUGAAACAAUCUCCGAGGCAGUGGUACAAGCGAUUUGAUCAGUUCAUGAAAGGGCAAAGGUACACAAGAAGUAAAUUUGAUCAUUGCGUAUAUUUUCAGAAGCUACAAGAAGGAACUUUCAUAUACUUGCUCUUAUAUGUUGAUGAUAUGCUGAUAGCAUCUAAGAGCAAAGUUGAGAUUGAGAGAUUGAAGACUCAACUCAAUCUCGAGUUUGAGAUGAAAGAUCUAGGUGAAGCUAAGAAGAUUCUUGGCAUGGAAAUAUGUAGAGAUAGAGCUCAUGGCAGAGUUAGCUUGUCUCAGAAGCAGUAUUUGAAGAAAGUACUACAGCAGUUUGGCAUGAACGAGCAGACCAAACCUGUAAGUACCCCGUUGGCUUCUCAUUUCAAGCUUUCUGCACAACUAUCUCCUUCGACGAAUACGGAACGAGAAUACAUGUUGCAAGUUCCGUAUUCUAAUGCAGUGGGUAGCUUGAUGUAUGCAAUGGUGUGUACAAGACCCGACAUUUCACAGGCAGUUAGUAUAGUGAGCAGGUAUAUGCAUAAUCCUGGAAAAGGACAUUGGCAAGCUGUGAAAUGGAUUCUACGGUAUAUUCAGAAGACCGUGGAUGUUGGAUUACUGUUCAAGCAGGAUAAUACACUUGGUAAAGGUGUUAUUGGGUACGUUGAUUCUGACUAUGCCGGUGAUUUGGACAAGCGAAGAUCAACCACCGGUUAUGUGUUUACACUUGCUGGAGGACCAAUAAGUUGGAAGUCUGCACUACAGUCUACAGUUGCAUUGUCAACCACAGAAGCCGAGUACAUGGCUGUAACAGAGGCUGUAAAGGAGGCUAUUUGGUUACAAGGUAUGGCUAAAACCUUGGGGUUGGUUCAGGAGCAUAUUAACGUGUAUUGUGAUAGUCAAAGUGCUAUUCAUUUAGCAAAGAAUCAAGUCUAUCAUGCACGUACAAAACAUAUCGACGUACGAUUCCAUUUUGUGCGGGAAAUUAUUGAAGAGGGGAAAAUUUGUCUUCAGAAGAUCAAGACUGCAAAUAAUCCCGCAGAUAUGAUGACCAAGGUGGUAACAGCAACCAAGUUCGAACAUUGUUUGAACUUGAUUAAUAUCCUGCAAGUUUAACAGUUGAAGAAGGCACUAUCAAGUAUUGUUGUCAAAGGCAGAAAGAAUUGUGUGAAGAUAAGAUUAUCCUAAUCAAAUCUUCAAGGUGGAGAUUAUUGGAACCCACCCAUUGUUUGAAAAGUCAAAAAGGGUGGGCACCGAAAGUAGAAAGUAAAAUUGGUUGGCAAGUUGGGUUAAAAGUUGGCAUGGGAUAAUUGCAAUUUUGGUCCCUAAUUGUAUAGGGACAUUGCAAGUUGAUCCUUGAACCUCAACUAUAAAUAGGCCUAACCAUUUCUUACUUUCUUCAUCCCACACUUGCCAUUCUCUACUUAAGGCAAUUGUUCUCUCUCCCUAUUUGUAAACUUUCACUUGUAUUUUUGGAGUGAAAUAUAUUUGGUAGUGCCCGAGGACGUAGGCAAAAUUUGCUGAACCUCGUUAAAAUUCUAGUGUUCUUUAUUUUUGUUCUGCAUAUUUUGCAAGUGUUAUUGUAGUGAUUUAUUGUGCUAUUAAAUUACGAUAGAGGGAUAUUCUGGCUAGGAAAGAUCUGGUAUGUAAGCGAUCCUCGUGAUCCACCUCUCUUUCCUGGGAAUUGAACUUAGUGUGAUUUUUCAAUACAAUAAUUUUACUCUUUCACACGCUUCCGCGCAACAGGAAAUCCAUUUGCAGAGCACGCCAUUUUACUCCCAAUAUAUGCUUCCUUCAAAUAGAGAAUCCUCAAAUGACAUAGCUUUUCUAAUACCGCCAAUGGAUCUUGGCUCAGCUCACAGUCAACCAAAGUUAAUUUGACAAUAUUUGAUGGAAGAAAUUUCAAAACAUGACCGUUCGGAUGUGGCUCAUCUUCUAUCCCACCCACUAAUUUCAGUUUGGAGAGGUGAUAAUAUUGAGAAAGGGGUUCUAAGUCUAGGUUUGAGCUAUCAGAAAAUUUCAAGGACACUGACCUAAGGCGUUGCAAUUUGGUUAGCAAGGUUAGGGUAAGCUUCACAUAUUUUGCUCUGGUAAAUGCUAUUCCUAAACUCUGAAUAUUAGUCCACCUAAGCACCGCAUUAUUUUCAACCGGCUUCCCAUCCACCUCUAUGAACUUCAAAGUUUCAAUAUUUUUUGAAGUGAACCCUUGCCGCCAACGAAAUCCAGAUGAGGAAUAUUUCCUAGACUUUAUUACAAUAUGCCUUAAACGUUCUAACUUAAACACACCAUCUGGAAUUACAAUGUCAUAACAAAACUUGAUGUACAAAGUGUACAGAUUCUUCAACCUGCCAAUAGAUCGCGGCAAAAUCAUUUUGUCAUUGUAGUAUAACUUCAAGUAUCUCAAAUGUUGGAGAUUACCAAUUUCAGUCGACACAUGCCACCACUUAUUGCCCCUUUUUGCAAGAGUCAACACCCUUAAAAAUUUGAAGCUUUUGUAUUUUGAAAUGCAUAAUUCUACCAAUCUCACAUUCUGAGAAAACAACAAAGAGCGUAAUUUUGGAUGCUCUCCCUUCAAAUAAACUUUCGAAUGUCUAGGAUGAAUAGAAAUUCUUCGUAGCAUAGAUUCUGCCAAUGUCACUUCAAGUUCAUACAGUGGUUGUUGAAUAAUUUCCAAGAACUUCUCCUCUCUUGCUUUCUUCGUGCACAAGUCCCUCAAGAGAUCAUGCACUCGACAUGUCUCCACAUUUGUUCCUGUAUAGUCUCGCCUGCUAACUUGAACCAAGCUCCUAUCUAUAAGCUCUUCUAGGAAUUUUUCGCCUAAAUCCUCCAUCAAGAAUUCUUCAUUUUCCGGAAUGAAACCUUCAGCGAUCCAUAAACGAAUGAGUUCCUUUUUCGGUAUCUCCCUAUCUUCUGGAUAAUGACUAAGAUACAAAAAGCAUGGUUUUAAAGGAUAAGGCAAGUCAUUGUAGCUUGAAACCAAAAUUCUGUUCACUGCCCCAUAUUGACGAUCUUGAUGUGGGAGCUCAUUUAAGUGUCCAUGGAUGUUUUUAUGAACCAUCUCCCAUUGAGCCACUGACUGUUUUGUUGCCAGCAAGCAACCCAACACAACAAUUGCUAAAGGCAAGCCUCCACAUUUUUUCACCAUCUCUUUUCCAAGCUUCACAAAUUCUUCUGAGCAGCAUUGAGAAGCCAUUUUGCUCCGUGGGAAUGCUUUCCUACACAAAAGAUUCCAACUUUCAUCAUCUGUAAGAAGUGAGAGCUCCACGGGAGUGCUCCAAGGAUCGGCACGUGAAGCCACAUUUUUUAUUCGUGUUGUGAACAAAAUUUUGCUUCCCUUUCUUCCUCGUGGAAAAGCAGGUUUAAGAAUAUCCCAGUCCUCACUUCUCCAAAUAUCAUCGAGGACCACCAAAUACCGCUUUUCUUUCAAAGCAUCAAAAAGCGUUCUCCUCAGCUCAAUCUCGUCCAUUUUCUCAAUUUUCUCUCUUUCAUCGUUAGAAGGAGAGAGAACUUUUUCAUCGUUAGAAGGAGAGAGAACUUUCUUCAAGACACUAAGCCAAACUUCUCUCGGCUUACAUUGUUGUGAGAUAGAAAACCAAGCCAAGAAAUCAAAAUGGUGUCUCACAUCAACAUGAUUAUAUACUUUUCUGGCAAGAGUAGUCUUACCGAGGCCUCCCAUGCCGACUAUGGAAACCACGGCGUGGGGUCUAUCUUCUUCAAACAUCAACAUGGUCAUGACAUCCUUCGUGCUAACUUCCAAGCUAACAACAUCCUCUUCCUCGACAUGUGAGUAUGUCCUUCUAAACUGUUGCUGCACCUUGAAAAUUGAGCUAGAGCCUUCUCCAUCAUCGGGUAUUUCAAAAGCUGGAAGAUUCUCGGAAAUGUUUUGGAGCUUGGUCUUGAUUGCUUUGACCUGCACCCCGAUUUUGUGCAGAUGAUAAGGUUUGGUGAAAAUGGAGGUGAAUCUCUUGACAAUCCCAUGAAAACCUCGUUGGUGUGCUGCUUUAAGAAUAAAAGAGUCGAUGGCAUCUUCAGCAUCAUAAGCAAGAUCUCUGAUUUCCCACACCCGAUUCUGGAAAUGCGCAUCCUGUUCAAACUUGCUAUCCGCGUCCUUCAAGAAACACUGCAUUCGCGUCAGUUCAGCCCUUAGGCUCUCAACUUGAUCUUUCACAUCUUUGAGGAAAACAGCUUCAUGGAUGAGUAGAUCUGAAAUUCUUUCAACAGCUAAGGACACAAUAGCCUCUUCCAUUUCUCCUGCUGGUCCAGAACAGAUUCCACAAACUGAUCUGCAAGUAUUAGUAGAAUAUUUUUUGUAUUAGUGGAUAAGUAUCUCUCUUUAUCAGAAGUUUUGAAGAGCUGUUUUUGGGUGUGAGGUUGGUAAUUACUGUUCUUUGGACAGCAAAUAGCUGAACUUAUUAUUAUUAUUAUGGAACGUAACUUUUUUUUAAUAAAAUAACAUAUAUUCAAACUUAACAUGUGGAUAACCCUUGUCCUAAGUUAGUUGUAUCCCUUCUAACAUCAAUCUUGCUUUAAUUUUAUACACUUCAUAUUUCUUUAAUGUCAUCGACUAACCACAUAAUUAAUUACUAUUAACAUAUUUAAUGACUCUUCCAAUUGUAAUUGAGUGAGCGCUAGACGAAAUUACACCAUCUGUAUUAAGCUUAACCUAACCACUUUCUAGAACUAACCAUUUUAAAUCAAAAGCCAUAAAAUUCGAAUGGAACAUAGCCAUUGAGGGUGGUGAAUAACUUCUCGUCCAACUGAUACCAUCUACCACAUCCUAAAUAGAGCUAUAACUAUCGAAAAGGACAAACAUAUUCCUAUUUUUCUAUAAUAACCAACAUAUUGUUAUUGAUUAAUAGUAAUGUUUAUAGAAAAAUAUAGAGUAAAUCAAAUUUAUUUUGAUAUCAAUAGAUGUUGAUUUAAUAAUGAAAAAUUCAUAACAAUUAUAAAAUAAUUUCUUCCAAUUAAAAAGCAAUUUUUUUUCUUUUUAUCUUUUUAAGAAAGACAAGGCAAGUGGACACAAAAUUCAUUAAAUUUUAAAAGUUAUAAAAUGAUAAUUGAACUAUUUAAAUAUUUUUAUUUUAGUCACUGAUCUAUUCAAUAAUUUUUAUUUAAGUCAUUAGAUUAUUAGCUUUUUUUUCAAACGUCUGAUUAGUUAGGUUAAAGCAACAAUUCGAUGAAUGGUACAAUGGAUCAAUACUCAUUGACGAGUAGAAUAACAUUUACUAGAUCAAGUCAAUUUGAUGGUUGGUGCCGAAGAACGGAGAACAAAACUAUUUAGAUUUAAAUUCGUAGAUACGUGACAUUUGAAGUUGUUUUAUUAAAAAAAAAAACUUAAACUAUAGACAAGCAGGGGUAGAAGAGUUAGCGGGCAAACAAUGAAGGACAUAUAGUAGUGAUUUUAACAACUUAAUGACUUAAAGAAAACUUUUGAAUAAUUUAGUGACAAUUUUGUAACUUUUUAAUGUUAAACGAUUAAAACGUAAACUUACUAAUAGUUUAAUGGCCUUGAAUGUAGUUUACUCCAAUUAUUUAUUAUUUUUAAUGUGUUGUUUUUUUUUACCUUACCUAAAUUACCCAUAAGUAAACUUCAUAAAUUCCAAAAAGUGGAGGAUAGUACGCGUUUAUUAAUGUUCAAACCCAUGUCCUCCAAUUCUUUUUUGCCCGGCCAAUAUAAAAUUUUAUACAGAACGAAAGGACGACUUGGAAAACAACAGUACAAAGAAUGUCGAAUGAAAAUAAGAGAAAAAAUUGAGAAAAUAAAACAAUCACGAUUUUUUUUGUAAAAUUUAAUGGUAAAAAAAAAGUUUUAUAUAAGAGGAGAAAUUUAUUUAUUUGAGGGAGUUUCAUAUAUAAUUUAAAUUUAGAAUUUCAAAACUCAUAACCGUGAAAAAAGUUGUUCAAUAAUUUUUACUUGGUUUGUUCCUACAACCGUUAUAUUAGAGUUUAUCACGUAUGGAUCCGUGUUUGUUUUUCUUUUAGAGUGGGUUUGGAUAGGCAGUAGAGUGCGGUGCAGCGGUGCAAUACGUUUAGUUUAUUUUUUAUCUCACGUUACAGUGUUGUUACAGUAUCUAAUCUCACCGUCAUCGCUAUUAUUACACUAACCGCAGGUAACCGUACCGCACAUCCAAACUCACCCGUAGUUUAUCACAUAUAAUCGUCUCUUUCCUUUCCCUUUUAUAGAUAGUAAGAGGUGUUUAUUGGUUCGAAUUAAGUUUAUGUUUAUUUAAAAUUAUCCAGUUUAAGAACUUAUUUUGUUAUGUCCAUUUAUAUUUAUAACUGGCAUAUGUUCGUCUAUUUUAAACCUGUAAUUUUUAAAUAUAUAUUAUUCUUAAUUUAAUAUUUAAUAUUUUUAAUAAUAUUUUUAUUAAAAUUGAAAUUUAUACAAUAUUUUUUAUGUUUAAAUAAAAUUUAUACAAAACUCUAAAGUGAGUUGGGUUUAGAGGUGAUCAUGGGUUGGACUACUCGUCCCGGCCUGACAGCUCGUCCGAAAAAUGGGAGAGUUUGGGUAAAAAUAUAGGCCCGAAAUAUGAGUUUGGGAAAAAAAGAGGCCCGUUUAGAAAACGAGCCGAGCCUCGAGUAAAACUUUUUUGGCCGGGCCCGGCUCGAAUUAUAUAUUAAAUAUAUAAUUUUUAUUUUAAUCAAAUAUACCUCUAAUUCUGGUUGGUUGAUUAUAUUUUGCAGGUAUUUAAUGCUAUUUUGGUGUUGUAAAAUUUAAUAUGGGUCGGGUCGGGCCGAGCCUAGCCCAUGAUCACCUCUAGUUGGCUUAGGUUUGAGAGAGUUGAAGCUUAACCAGAAUCAAGUUUUUUUUUUUUUUUUUUACUUUAGUCCAAUUUUUAGAUCUUGUUUUUUUUUUCUUUUGAGAAAUAAAAAAUAGAUGCCAUCAAACUUGAAAAUUGAAUACAACCUCUGCAUGUGUACCACACAUCCUACUCUCCUACAUCUGUUAAUCGGUGGAGUAGUUCUUAAUUAAUUGAAAAGUUGUAUCAUACUCAAUUCUUACGGGACUUUAAUCAUCCGAUCUAAAAGAAACAAAGAAUCAAACCCUAAAAAUCAACUACAUCCUAAUUUUUAGAAAAAAAGAAAAAAAAAUCUAUCAAUUUCUCCUUUAGCAAUCCACUCUUUCAUCUACCACCAUCGUUCCACCUUGAAAUAAUCUAUACUUUUAGUAUCCUUGAUGGAAAUUCUUGUAGAAAAAAAAAUCGUUUUAUUCGGUUUUUUUUUAUAUAUAAGAUUGACCUUUUAGCUUAAAUAAAUAAUUGAACUCAUAAAUAAAGGCUUUUUUUAUAAAAAUAAUUCAAAAAUUUUUAUUAUUUAUGAAAACAAUCCAUUUUUUAUUAAACAUGUAAAUGAUCUAAAACCUAUAGUAAAAGUUGGUGGAGUCAAAGAGUUUGGCGUCACCAACAUACCAUAUCAGCAAACGAGAAAAAAAAUUUAUUUAUUUUGGUAGAACCAUGUAGAACGACAUCACUUAUAUAAAUAUUAUUUUUGAAAAAUUAGAAGAAUUUAAAAAAAAUACAUUUUUUCUAAUGAAGCUAAAUAAUUUAACGCUACAAAUUUCUAAAAUUACCUACAUCAUCUAUUUUUAAAAUAUCGUUAUUUGAUGUCAUUUAUGUAUUUAAUAAAAAUAAAUAAUCAAAUUUUUUUUUAUAAAAAAGCCUUAAUAGAUAAUUUAUCAAUUACCAAAUCAAUCAAACUAUUCAAUCAAACAAGGCAAGUUUUAGGCUCAUUCGGAAAAGCCACAGUCCACUCCCGCAGAGCAGCCAUAGCAUAUUUAAUUAUUCAAAAGCCGUGUGCCGUUCGACUAAAACAAAAUUCCAAAAAUAAAAACAAAAUUGCUUGUAGAAAAAGCUUUAGGUGGACACAAAAUUCCAAAAGGGCCAACAGAUUGUCCACACAUUGGGAAUAAAACUUGUUUGCAAUAUCUACAUUGGCAGCCAUACAAUAAAAUUGUAGGAAACUGACAUUAGUAGGCCAACCCUCAUUUUCAUUUCUUCCAAUUAACAGCUAUUUGAACACCCAACAGUCGUUGCUCGUAAUUGAUAGGAUAAGAUCAAACGAAAAAAUAAUAAUUAUUUGGAUCAAUUAUAUUCAACUUCACUAAAUUAUUAUUAAAUUUAUAUUUUAAUUAUUUAACUUUAAAAAAAUUAUAAGAUAGUUAUUGAAACAUUUAACAGUUUUCAUUUAAGUCAUUAAACUAUUUAAAAUUUUUUGUUUAAGUCAUUGAACUAUUAAGUUCUUUUUUAAAAAAAAAAAGUAGUUUGGCUUUUGAGGAUCAAGCGACAAUUCGAUGAACAGUACAAUGGAUCAAUACUCAUCAACGAGUAAAAGAACAUAUAUUAGACUAAGUCAAUUUGAUGGUCGGUAUUGAAAAACUGUUUGGAUUUUAGUUCGUAGAUACGUGAUAUUUAAAGUUGUUUUAUUAAAAAAUCCUAAAUUGUAGAAGAGUAAGGGCAAAGAGUUUAUUAUUGGUGCAGGUGAUGUCAACAAUAAAUGCCAUAUAACAAAAAUUUUAAUAGUUCAAUAACAUAAAUGAAAACUUUCGAAUAAUUUAAUGACCAUAUUGUAGCUUUUUAAAAUUAAUUGACCAAAAUAGUAAUUUAGUGACCUUUAGUGUUAUUUACUCUAAUUAUUUAUUAUUUUUACUGUGUUAUUUUUUAUACAAUACUUAAAUUACUCAUAAAUAAAUUUCACAAUCCGGAUAUUACACCCUUAUUAAGGUUGAAACCCACACCCCAAAUGUUUUUUGCCCGGUUAAUAAUUUUUUUUUAUCAAAAAUGAAAGGACCACUUAGAAAAUAUAGUAUAAAGAAUGUUGAAAGAAAAUAAGAGAAAAUAGACUAGUACAAUAAACAAUAAAUAAAUUUCUAAGCUUUAAAUAUAAAUCUUUCCUUAAAAUCCAUCAACUUAAUAAAUCGACGAAGAAUCAAUUAAUGUUGAGCUUCUUUGCAGGCUUGCAUUUGGAGAUGAAAGAAAGCUCCAACCCUACUAGCAACAACAUGAAAUUGGUAUAUCAUCUUUAAUCUAUACUAAUAAUAAUGAUAAAAAAGAACUUAAAAUAGAAAUUAUGAAAUGAUACUGCAAGUUUCUUUUUAGAAAAAAACGAAAAAGAAGUAGAGAAGUGACUAUUAUUUUAGAGAAAUAAAUUUCUAAUGCACCUAUUUAGAUAUAAGCAAAUUACUGUAUUUGGAUAGAGGGAAUGUGGCCUACUUCAUAGAAAUCCUCUCCUCUUUCAUCUAUCACUUUUAUUAUUUCUUUCAAUGACUAUUAACAUUGACCAAUUCCAAUCUUCAAAGGCAUGGCAUUGCACUCCUUCAACCCUGGUAGAAAUCUAAUUUCAAGAGCAUCAAGUUGAGGAAACCCAUUGGCAAAGCAUAUAAUCUUACUCUCAUCAUAUGUUAAACUCUCUAACUUCAGAAUCCUCAAACAAGGUAACUUUUCCAACACACCCAUUGGAUCAUGGAUCAUCAUAGAGUCAUCUAAAGUUAACUUGACAAUACUUGACGGAAGAAAUUCCAAAACAUGAUGGCUCUGAUGUGGAUCUUCUUUUAUAUGCCCUAUUAACUUCAAUUUGGAGAGGUGACGACACUAAUAAAGAGGUUCCAAUAUGAAGAAUGAGUUGACUUGUCAUGGUUCAUAUAGUCAAGCAAACACAUGUACAAUGACCCAAGGCGAUCCAAUAUGAUUAGCAACAGAAAGAUAGACUUAAUAUCUUUUGAACUCUUAAAUGUUAUUCCUAAACAUUGAAUACGAGUCAACCUAAGUGCCUCAUUAUUUUCAAUAAACUUCUUAUUUACCAUCAUGCGCUUCAAAGUUUCAAUAUUUUUUUGAAGAAAAGCUUUGGCACAGGAGAAAACAACUUUUUUAACAUGGGUAUGUAUACCAUUUCAUCACAAAUUGCCUUAAACAUUCCAACUUGAAUACUACAUUUGGAAUUACAGAGUCAUAAUGGCAUUAGAGGUACAAAGUGUGUAAAUUCUUCAACUAAUUUCCAAUAGCCCAUGGCAAGAGUAUUUUGAGUUUGCAUCUUAAGCUCAAAUGAUGGAGAUUACCAAUUUCACUUGACACAUGCAACUCCUCAACAUUCCUCGUAAGUUUCAAGAAAAGAAAAACUAACGUGAAAUUGAGAAAUUGAAAGGGAAAGUUUGAAACAAAAAGAAUCUACAGAGGUAGAAAAAAACUAGCAGCAAAUGUGAAAACAAAAGAAGAGUGGAAAAGAUGGGAAAGUGGGGAAGUUGGACAUGGGAUGGAGAAACGUGGGAGAAUUUUGGAGAAAUAUUUUUAAUUAAUUUUUUCUUAAAAAAAUAUUAUCCUAUAACCAACAUAAUUUUUUUGAUAACCUAUCUAUUUAUUCAUAAUUCAAAUUUAACUAAACCGGGAGCUCCAAAAAUAAUUUUUGCUUUACAGGGAUUCAAACACGAGAUUUCUAAGCAAGUUGAAACUUUAUUAUUAAACUACUAAAUUCAUUCUUAUUAAUAAUUAAGCAAAAAUAACAUAUUAGAAUAUAGGAAGUUGUUAAUUAGUUAUGAGUCUGGUAAGGUUGUUGUGAAGUAUAGACUGAAUAUUGACCCAAAUGCAAAUGGGGUUCCGUCGUCUAAUUUUGUUCAAGUUGAUCAAAGUGAUCCCGGCUCACCUGAACCGAUUGGCGUUGAUAGAGUUUUACGAUUUACCAAACCGCGUGCUCAGGUUUGACUGGGUUCGAACCAUGUAUUGGGCUUCCUCGGCUAGGGGACUUACAUGCAUCUGAGUAUUCCGAUCCUUCAGAAUCUGGCUCUCAUGUCAAUACUGCUCAACUUGGGUUUGGUACUAGUAAAGAUGACCCAUACGUUCCAGUGCAAGGUGGCACCACAACUUGGUAUCCUGACUCGGGAGCUAGUCAUCAUGUCUGUCGUGAUGUGUCAGCUUUACAUGAUGUCACACCAUAUUCAGGUACGUCAUCUCUUUUAAUGGGUGAUGGUACUCCUGCGGUAAUUUCGUCAAUUGGUACUGCUAUUUUACAUACUCAAUAUAAGUCGUUGCGAUUAUCAAAUGUCUUAUGUGUGCCAAGUAUACGGAAAAACCUCUUAUCCGUCUCACAGUUUGCUCGUGAUAAUGGUGUGUUUUUUUAGUUUCAUCCUAACCAUUGAGUUAUUAAGGAUACGGUGACUCGGGAGACAUUGCUGACGGGCCGCAUUCAUGAUGGACUUUAUCACUUUUCUGUGCCAGUGGGGUCUACUCCGUCUACGGUUGCUCCAUUUGUUGCUCAUUCGCAAGUUCCACAGUAGUUUCAAAUAAUAAUGUGUUUGCUUUAUGGCAUAAUCGUUUAGGCCACCCAUCAACUUCUGUGGUCAAAACAGUUUUAAAUAAAUGUAAUGUUGCUUCAAGUAAAAAUAGUUUGGAUGGUAUAUGUACUGCAUGUCAAAAAGGCAGGUCACAUAAGUUGCCCUUCUCCCCUUCGACUACUAGCUAUCGUCCUUUUGAGUUGGUUGUGUCUGAUCUUUGGGGUCCUGCACCUGUUGCAUGUGGUGAUAAAAGAUAUUAUGUUUCAUUUAUUGAUAUGAGUACUCGGUUUACUUGGGUUUAUCUUUUACGUCAAAAAGCUCAAGCACUAGAAUGCUUUACUCAGUUUCAACAGUUAAUUAAGACACAGUUUGGCAAGUCUAUUAAGCAGUUCCAGAGCGAUUGGGGAGGCGAAUACCGUGGUUUUACGUCUGUCUUAGAAUCUCAAGGAAUCAUACAUCGACUAACGUGUCCGUAUACUUCAGAACAAAAUGGAGUGGCUGAGCGUAAGCAUCGCCACAUUGUUGAAGUAGGUAUUACAUUGUUGGCUCACGAAAGUUUGCCUCUGGAAUACUGGGGGUAUGCGUUUUGCUGUGCAGUUCAUCUUAUAAAUCGACUUCCUACUGUUGUACUUCAAGACAGUUCUCCGUUUAAGGCACUAUAUGGACAUGAUCUGACCUAUGAUCAUCUUCGAGUGUUUGGCUGCUGUUGUUAUCCGUACUUACGUCCGUUUGUAAGGAAUAAAUUGGACUUUCGGUCUCAGCCGUCUACAUUGUUGGGAUACAGUCCUCGUCACAAGGGGUAUCAAUGUCUUUUACCAGAUGGUAAGGUUAUAAUAUCAAGGCAUGUGGUAUUUGAUGAACAGAGAUUUCUGUUUGCUGAGACUAUUCCAGACAAGUCUAUGUUGACGACCACUCAGACUAGUUCGACUACUGUUCCUUUCGUGUGGCCGUCUUAUUCCUCAACUCUUGAGCCUUGCAUGAUGACACAGUCUUUACAAGGGUUGCAAUCUCCGUCUGCUGAUCCUGCAUUAGGUGUUAAUUUAGAGCAGUCUCAGUCUCGUGAUUCUUCAGCUGAUAUCGGGACUGGGUCGGGUAAUCUCCCAGUUCAUGGUUCGUCAGCUAAUGAUGGGACUGAAUUGAGUGAUCCUCCAGCAGUGCAUGGCUCGGGAUCAUCAAGUGAUAAUUCUCAUUCUACUAUGAGAAUGUCUGCAGGUGUUUGAUCGGCAUCUGAUAGUCAGAUUAGUAGGCCACCUAUGGGUAAUACUUACCCAAUGGUCACUCGAGCUAAAGCGGGGGUUUACAAACCUAAGGUUUUAAAUGUUGAAGCUGUUGAACCGACUACGAUUGAAGAAGCUCUGGCUACUGUUGAGUGGCGCGAUGCUGCGCAAGCUGAGUAUGAUGCUCUUAUGUGUAAUUCCACAUGGGAGCUUGUUCCCACUCCGUCUAAUCGUAAGAUCAUUGGGUGCAAAUGGUUGUUCAGAAUCAAGAAGAAUUCUGAUGGUACUAUUGCUCGACAUAAGGCUCGUUUAGUCGCAAAAGGAUGCUCCUAAGUUCUAGGUUGUGACUUUAAGGAAACGUUUAGUCCAGUGGUCAAACCGGCUACUAUCAGAGUUAUUUUCUCUAUUGCUGUGUCUAAGUGGUGGUUGCUUCGGCAAGUUGAUGUGAAUAAUGCGUUUCUAAAUGGCGAUCUGGACACUGAAGUUUUUUUGCAUCAACCUCCUGGUUAUGUUCAAUAUGACUCACAUGGUAGACCUUUGGUGUGCCGUCUGAAGAAAGCGUUGUAUGGUCUUCGUCAGGCUCCUCGUGCCUGGUUUGAGAAGUUAAAAGGAUUUCUACUCUCUGUGGGGUUUGUGGUAUCAAAGUCUGAUGCUUCUUUGUUUGUUCGAGUGGUAUCAGCUUCAACAUUGUAUGUUUUGGUAUACGUUGAUGAUAUCAUUAUUACUGGUGAUGUGCCUUCUGUUAUAGAGUGGUUUGCUAAGUUGCUGAAUAAUAAGUUCUCACUUAAGGACAUGGGUGAUCUCCAUUAUUUUCUUGGGAUAGAGGUUACUCGUUCUUCCUCCGGUUGUCUUCAUCUAUGUCAGAAGAAGUAUAUUCGUGAUAUUCUCAUAAGGUGCUCGAUGGAAAAUGCGAAGAGUGUUCACACUCCGAUGAUUAGUUCCUCUAUCUUAACUAGAGAUGGUGGGGAACGUUUGGAGGAUCCAACUGAAUAUAGGAGUCUUGCAGGAGCAUUACAGUAUGUUACUCUUACGCGGCCUGACGUUGCGUAUGCUGUAAAUCGAAUAUGUCAGUUUAUGCAUUGUCCCACUUCCAUACAUAUGACCGCUCUGAAGCGGAUUUUGAGGUAUCUAGGUGGAACGAUUGAUUUUGGGAUUGUAUUUCGUCCGUCUACCUUUUUGUCAUUAGUUGGGUAUGCUGAUGCAAACUGGGGUUUAGAUUUUGAUGACCGGAGAUCUACUACUAGAUACUGUGUGUAUUUUGGACAUUCUCCUGUCUCGUGGUGUACGAAAAAAUAGCAGGUUGUUGCUUGGUCUACUGCUGAGGCAGAGUACCGAAGUCUUGCUGCAGUUACUAGUGAGGUUACGUGGCUUUUAUCGUUACUUCAAGAGUUGCAUGUUCAGUCUACUAGCAUUCCUGAUAUUUGGUGUGAUAGUUCUGGGGCGGUUGCAGUUGCUGCUAAUCCUGUUCUUCAUUCCAAGUUUAAGCACGUUGAGUUAGAUUUAUUUUUCGUUCGUGAAAAAGUAGCUAAUGGUAUUAUUGCUGUUGGCGAGGUUCUAGCUUGUGAUCAAGUUGUUGAUGUUCUUACUAAACCGCUUUCACUUUCGAAUUUUACUCGAUUUCGGAGUUUUCUACAGGUGUUACCUGUGGAGAAGAUGGAUGAAUAUUAGAAUAUAGGAAGUUGUUAAUUAGUUAUGAGUCUGGUAAGGUUGUUGUGAAGUUUAGACUAGUCAACAAAGUCUAUAAAUACUGUAAGUUGAGAAUUCAGAAGUAAGCAAUUUUGAAUACAAGAGAAAGAAAUUCAUUUUAUCCUCUCUUUUAUUUCUGUUUGGCUAGUUCUUUCAUAACAUAUAAUCGAAAUAUUCAAGGAUUGGGGACGGAACAAAAAAUAACAAAAAAUUUUUAAAAAAAAGAUUUGCCGUAACUUCUGUUUCAUCAGUAGGCUUGUCUCAUAUAUAUCAGAGUAAAACUGCUUACAAAUGUGAGGCUAAGAUUUUUACGUUUCAGAAACAUGUAUAUAUAAUGCUUCUUGGUUGGUCGAAAAUGAAGCAUAUAACACGGUUAUCUUAGUACAUAGAGUUCCCUGAAUUUACUACAUUUUGAUUUGUGUAACCUUAUUAAAACAAGUCUUCAAUAUCAGUUGCUACUUUGUUGUUAUUGUUUAUAGGAAGAAUAAAUUAUGUGAAACUCAACUUUCUUAAGCACACUAACUUUUGUGAAUUUAGAUUAAAAGGGAGUUUAGUUCACAAAAUAUUUGAUUAACUUGACAAUUAGUGCAUUACUAGAUAUGUUAAAGUACCGCGUUUGGUUCAAGGUAAAAGUUGAAAUAAUUCUAGACUCAAAGAUAUUUAAUUAUCGGUUUGUUCUUAGUAUAUAGUAAAUGAGUAAAAAGUUUUGAUUAAAAAAAACUUUAUGGAAUUAUUAAUAUAAUUGAUUAAACAGUUAAAAAUUUUAAAAUGAUUAAUGUCGACUCUUUUUAUAAAAUAUUCGGGUGGGGAUUGGUAUAAAUCUGUUAAAAAAAUUUAAUCAUCAUUCCACAUAAGUCAAGGUUAAUAUAAAUCUGUUUUAUAUAUUUUGUUAUAAGAAAACGCACAUAUUUUUGUUAUGUCAUAUAAAUAUACAUGUUAUAUGUUUUGAUUAACAUUGUAUCAUCUAAUUUUUAAUUGAAAUAGUGAGUUGUAAAUUUAAAUCGGUUAUUUUACUAUUUAAAUAAUGAAUUUAACCAUUUAACAUCUAAUGAGUUAUUUAGAAUUUCUUUCUUCGGUUUAAAUUGAUUAAUUUCAAUUAAAUAGAUGCAAAUGAAGAACCAAUUAAUAAGAAGAUAAUUUUUUAAAAAAAUAAGCAAAUUGGGAGGCCGGAAACGAGCCUUAGAUAUAUAGCAAACAAUCACUUCAUUCAAAGCUCAUGGUAUAUAGCAAUCCAAUUCUUAUAAAAAUACAUAUACACACUUAAUGAAAUUAGAUAUCUCGGGAAAGUGCAUUCUAGUGCUGAUUAGAUAACCUGCAUCAAGAAGAAAAAUGGUAUGUACAUAUCAUCAUCUCUUAUGUAUAAUAAUUAAAAAUAUGAAAUAAUAAAAUGAUACUAAAAUUUUAGUUUUUCUAGAAAAUGAUUCGAAAUUCUUAUUUUUUUAUAUUUUAAUUACAAUUUUUAUGGUAAUUAAAGAUAUAUUCAUCUAUUGUAUUAUUUUAUCAAUAUUAUAUUAAUCUCUAACUCUAUGGGUGAAAAAGAAAAGAAAAAAGAAUGUAAAAAUUAUUAUUUUAUAGAAAUAAAUACCUCACCUGAUGUUGGCUCCUAUUAUUUUGGCAUCAAAAAAUGUCGGAUGAAGGGAAUGUGGCGCACUUUAUAGAAUUCCUCUCCUUCUCUUCCAUCUAUCACUUUAAUCCUUUCUUUCAAUGACGAAGAUAUUCCUAUUAAAUUCAAUUUUUGGAGAGUAGUCAUGUAUCUCAAUCCUUCUGGAAGCAUCCUUAAACUCUCAACAUUGGCCAACGUCAAUUCUCGAAGGCAUGGCAUUGCACCUUCUUCUAUUUCCCACUCCUCCAACAUAAUUAACAUAAUUAAAAGAUAAUCAAGUUUAGGAAAUCCAUUUGCAGAGCACACCAUUUUACUCCCAAUAUAUGCUCCCUUCAAAAAGAGAAUCCUCAAAUGACAUAGCUUUUCUAAUACCGCCAUUGGAUCUUGUCUCAGCCCACAGUCAAACAAAGUUAAUUUGACAAUAUUUAAUGGAAGAAAUUUCAAAACAUGACCGUUCGGAUGUGGCUCUUCUUUUAUCGGACCCAGUAAUUUCAGUUUGGAGAGGUGAUAAUAUUGAGAAAGGGGUUCUAAGUCUAGGUGUGAGCAAUAAAAAAAACAUAAGGACACUGACCUAAGGCGUUGCAAUUUGGCUAGCAAGAUUAGGGUAGGCUUCACAUAUUCUGCUCUGGUAAAUUCUAUUCCUAAACUCUGAAUAUUAGUCCACCUAAGCACCGCAUUAUUUUCAGCCGCCUUCUCAUCCACCACUAUGAACUUCAAAGUUUCAAUAUUUUUUGAAGUGAACCCUUGCCGCCAACGAAAUCCAUCUACGUGGAAUUUCCCAACCGAUUUUAUUACAAUAUGCCUUAAACGUUCUAACUUAAACACACCAUCUGGAAUUACAAUGUCAUCACAAAACUUGAUGUAUAAAGUGUACAGAUUCUUCAACCUGCCAAUAGAUCGCGGCAAAAUCACUUUGUUAUUGUAGUAAAACUUCAAGUAUCUCAAAUGUUGGAGAUUACCAAUUUCAGUCGACACAUGCCACGGCUGAUUGCAGUCGCUCCUUUUUGCAAGAGUCAACACCCUUAAAAAUUUGAAGCUUUUGUAUUUUGAAAUGCACAAUUCUACCAAUAUCUCAGAAUGAGAAAACAACAAAGAGCGUAAUUUUGGAUGCUUUCCCUUCAAAUAAACUUUCGAUUCACUAGGAUGAGUAGAAAUUCUUCGUAGCAUAGAUUCUGCCAAUGUCACUUCAAGUUCAUGCAGUGGUUGUUGAAUAAUUUCCAAGAACUUCUCCUCUCUUGCUUUCUUCAUGCAAAAGUCCCUCAAGAGAUCAUGCACUCGACAUGUCUCCACAUUUGUUCCUGUAUAGUCUCGCGUGCUAACUUGAACCAAGCUCCUAUCUAUAAGCUCUUCUAGGAAUUUUUCGCCUAAAUCCUCCAUCAAGAAUUCUUCGUUUUCCGGAAUGAAACCUUCAGCGAUCCAUAAACGAAUGAGUUCUUUUUUCGGUAUCUCCCAAUCUUCUGGAUAAUGACUAAGAUACAAAAAGCAGGGUUUUAAAGGAUAAGGCAAGUCAUUGUAGCUUGAAACCAAAAUUCGGUUCACUGCACCAUAUUGACGAUCUUGGUGUGGGAGCUCAUUUAAGUGUCCAUGGAUGUUUUUAUGAACCAUCUCCCAUUGAGCCACGGACUGUUUUGUUGCCAGCAAGCAACCCAACACAACAAUUGCUAAAGGCAAGCCUCCACAUUUUUUCACCAUGUCUUUUCCAAGCUUCACAAAUUCUUCUGAGCAGCAUUGAGAACCCAUUUUGCUCCGUGGGAAUGCUUUCUUACACAAAAGAUUCCAACUUUCAUCAUCCGUAAGAAAUGAGAGCUCGAUGGGAGUGUUGCAAGAAUCGGCUCGUGAAGCCACAUUCCUGUUGCGUGUUGUGAACAAUAUUUUGCUUCCCUUUCUUCCUCGUGGAAAAGCAGGUUUAAGAAUAUCCCAGUCCUCGCUUCUCCAAAUAUCAUCGAGGACCACCAAAUACCGCUUUUCUUUCAAAGCAUCAAAAAGCGUUCUCGUCAGCUCAAUCUCGUCCAUUUUCUUAAUUUUCUCUCUAUCAUUGUUAGAAGGAGAGAGAAAUUUCUUCAAGACACUAAGCAAAACCUCUCUCGGCUUACAUUGUUGAGAGAUAGAAAACCAAGCCAAGAAAUCAAAAUGGCGUCUCACAUCAACAUGAUUAUAUACUUUUCUGGCAAGAGUAGUCUUACCGAGGCCCCCCAUGCCGACUAUGGAAACUACGGCGUGGGGUCUAUCUUCUUCAGUCAUCAAUUUGGUCAUGACAUCCUUGGUGCUAACCUCCAAGCUAACAACGUCCUCUUCCUCGACAUGUGAGUAUGCCCUUCUUAACCGUUGCUGCACCUUGAAAAUUGAGCUAGAGCCUUCUCCAUCACCGGGUAUCUCAAAAGCUGGAAGAUUCUCGGAAAUGUUUUGGAGCUCGGUCUUGAUUGCUUUGAGCUGCACCCCGAUUUUGUGCAGAUGAUAAGGUUUGGUGAAAAUGGAGGUGAAUCUCUUGACAAUCCCAUGAGAAUCUCGUUGAUAUGCUGCUUUAAGAAUAAAAGAGUCGAUGACAUCUUCAGCAUCAUAAGCAAGAUCUCUGAUUUCCGACACCCGAUUCUGGAAACGCGCAUCUUGUUCAAGAUUGCGAUCCGCGUCCUUCAAGAAACACUGCAUUCGCUUCAGUUCAGCCCUUAGACUCUCAACUUGAUCUUUCACAUCUUUGAGGAAAACAGCUUCAUGGAUGAGUAAAUCUGAAAUUCUUUCAACAGCUAAGGACACAAUAGCCUCUUCCAUUUCUCCUGCUGGUCCAGAACAGAUUCCACAAACUGAACUGCAAGUAUUAGUAGAAUAUUUUAUGUAUUAGUGGAGAAGUAUUUCUCUUUAUCAGAAGUUUUGAAGAGCUGUUUUUGGGGGUGAGGUUGGUAAUUAACUUAUUAUUAUUAUUAUGGAACGUAACUUUUUUUUAAAUAAAAUAACAUAUAUUAUCGAUAACCCUUGUUCUAAGUUGGUCAAAGUCCUUCUAACAUCGAUCUUGCUUCAAUUUUAAGUACUUCAUAUUUUCUUAAUGUCAUUGACUAACCACAUAACUAAUUACUAUUAGCAUCUUUAAUGAUUUCUUCAAUUACAACCGAAAUUGCACCAUCUGUAUUAAGCUUAACUAAAUCACUUUUUGAAGCUAAUCAUUUUGAAUCAAAAGCCAUAGAAUUCGAAUGGAACAUAGUCAUUGAGGGUGACGAAUAACUUCUCGUCUAACUAAUACCUGUAUCUACCUCAUCCUGAACAGAGCUAUGACUAUCAAAAAGUACAAACAUAUCCCUAUUUUUUUAUAAUAACCAACAUAUUUUUAUUGCUUAAUAGUAAUGUUUAUAUAUAAAAUAUAGAGUAAAUCAAAUUUAUUUUGCUAUCAAUAGAUGUUGAUUUAAUAAUGAAAAAUUCAUAACAAUUAUAAAAUAAUUUCUUCCAAUUAAAAAGCAAUUUUUAAAAAGGACUAAAAGAAAACUCGCUUGUUUUUUUUUUAUUCUUUUUAAGAAAGAAAAGGUUAGGUGUACACAAAAUUCCAAAAGCACAAUAGAUUUUCCACGUUGAAAACAAAAGCUGCUUUCAAUUUCCACAUUGGAUUCCACACAAAAUCGAUAAAGUAAAAUGGCAUGUGAAGAAAAAUUAUAAUCACUCACGUUAGUAGGCCAACCCUCAUAACAGUCAUUUCUCAUAACUGAUCUUAUAAGAGUGAGUUUAGAUGGGCGGUGCGUCUAUUUAUUAUUAGUGUAAAAAUAACGGUGGCGAUGAGAUUAAAUACUAUAGCAACAUUAUAGCGUGAGACAAAAAGUAGGUCAAACGCACCGUACCGCACCUAAUCGCCCAUCCAAACCCACCUUAAGACAAAAAAAAAGGGUUAAUUACUCGGGUAAAUUAUACUUAAGGUCACUAAAUUGUUAAUAAAUUUAUGUUUUGAUCAUUUAACUUUAAAAGUUUUAAAAUGAUUAUUGAACUAUUUGAAAGUUUUUAUUUUAGUCACUGAUCUAUUCAACAAUUUUAUUUAAGUCAUUAAACUAUUAGUUUUUUUUAAAAGUCUGAUUAGCUAGGUUAAAGUGACAAUUCGAUGAAUAGUACAAUAGAUCAGUACUUAUCCACGAGUAGAAUAACAUAUACUAGAUCAAGUCAAUUUGAUAGUUGGUGCCGAAGAACGGAAAGCAAAACUAUUUAAAUUUGGAUUCGUAGAUACGUGACAUUUGAAAUUGUUUUAUUAAAAAAAAACUUAAACUAUAGACAAGCAGGGGUAGAAGAGUUAGCGGGCAAACAAUGAAGGACAUAUAGUAGUGAUUUUAACAACUUAAUGACUUAAAGAAAACUUUUGAAUAAUUUAGUGACAAUUUUGUAACUUUUUAAUGUUAAAUGACUAAAACGUAAACUUACUAGUAGUUUAAUGACCUUGAAUGUAGUUUACUCCAAUUAUUUAUUAUUUUUACUGUGUUGUUUUUUAUGCAUUACCUAAAUUACCCAUCAAUAAACUUCACAAUUCCAAAAAGUGAAGGAUAGUACGCGUUUAUUAACGUUCAAACCCAUGUCCUUCAAUUCUUUUUUGCCCGGCCAAUAUAAAAUUUUAUCCAGAACGAAAGGACGACUUGGAAAACAACAGUACAAAGAAUGUUGAGAGAAAAUAACACAAUCACGAAUUUUUUUUAAUUUUAAUGGUGAAAAAGAGGGUUUUAAGAAGAGAAAUUUAUUUAUUUGAGGGAGUUCCAUAUAUAAUUUAAAUUUAGAAUUUCAAAAUUCAUAACAACUCAAUCUUAUCCGUGAAAAAAAAGUUGUGCAAUAAUUUUUACUUGGUUUGUUCCUACAAUAGUUAUAUUAGAGUUUAUCACGUAUGGAUCUGUGUUUGUUCUUCUUUUAGGGUGAGUUUAGAUGGACAGUAAAGUGCGGUGUAGCGGUGCAAUACGUUUAGUUUUUUUUUUUCUCACGUUAUAGUCUCGCUACAGUAUCUAAUCUCACUGCCAUUGCUAUUAUUACACUAACCGCAGGUAAAUGCACCGCCCAUCCAAACUCACCCUUAGUUUAUCACAUAUGCUCGUCCCUUUCCUUUCCCUUUUAUAGAUAGUACGAGGUGUUAUUGGUUCGAAUUGAGUUUAUAUUUAUUUAAAAUUGAUCCAGUUUAAAAACUUAUUUGCAUAUGUUAGUCUAUUUUAAACCUGUAAUUUUUAAAUAUAUAUUAUUCUUAAUUUAAUAUUUAAUAUUUCUAAUAAUAUUUUUUAUUAAAAUUGAAAUUUAUCAAUAUUUUUAUGUUUAAAUAAAAUUUAUAUAAAAGUCUAAAGUGGGUUGGGUUUAGAGGUGAUCAUGGGUUGGGCUACCCGGCCCGGCCCGAAGGUCUGCUCGAAAAAUAGGAGGGUUCGAGUAAAAAUAUAGGCCCGAAAUAUGAGUUUGGGCAAAAAAAGAGGCCCGUUUAGAAAACGGGUCAGGCCUCAGGUAAAACUAUUUUGGCCCGGGCCCGAAUCAUAUAUUAAAUAUAUAUAUAUUUUUAUUUUUAAUCAAAAAUACCUCUAAUUCUGGUUGGUUGAUUAUAUUUUGCAGGUUUUUGAUCUAUUUUGGUGUUGUAAAAUUUAAUAUGGGUUGGGCCAGGCCCGGUCCAUGAUCACCUCUAGUUAGGUUAGGUUUGAGAAAGUUGAAGCUUAACCAGAAUCUUUUUUUUUUUACUUUAGUCCAUUUUUCAGAUCUUAUUUUUUUUUUCUUUUGAGAAAUAAAAAAUAGAUGCCAUUAAACUUGAAAAUUAGAUACAACCUCUGCAUGGGUACCACUCAUCCUACUCUCCUACAUCCGUUAAUCGAUGGAGUAGUUCUUAAUUAAUGCAAAAGUUGCCUAAAAGAAACAAAGAGAAUAUAAAAGAAUCAAACCCUAAAAAUCAACUACAUGCUAAUUUUUAGAAAAAAAAAAACCUAUCAAUUUCUCCUUUAGCAAUCCACUCUUUCAUCUACCACAAUUGUGCCACCUUGAAAUGAUCUAUACUUUUAGUAUCCUUGAUGGAAAUUCUUGUAGAGAAAAGAAAUCGUUUUAUUCGUUUUUUUAUAUAUAAGAUGGACCUUUGAGCUUAAAUAAAUAAUUGAGAGGCUUUUUUUUAUAAAAAUAAUUCAAAGAUUUUGGUUAUUUAUGAAAUAAUUCAUUUUUUUAUUAAAUAUGUAAAUGAUAUAAAACCUACAGUAAAAGUUGGUGGAGUCAAAGAGUUUGGCGUCACCAACAUACCACGUCAGCAAUCGGGAUAAAAAAAUUUAUUUUUUUAGUAGAACCAUGUAGAGUAACAUCACCUGUAUAAAUACUAAAAAAAUACCGCUAUGUUUGAAAAAUUGGGGUACCUUAAAAGAAAAAACUUUUUUUCUGGUGAAGCUAAAUAAUUUUACGCUACCAAUUUCUAAAAUUACCUGCGUCAUCCAUUUUUAAAAUGUAGUUAUAUAUUUUAUGUCAUUUAUGUAUUUAAUAAAAAUAAGUAAUCGAAUUUUUUUUGAUUAUUUUUAUAAAAAAAGCCUUAAUAGAUAAUUCAUCAAUUACCCAAUCAAUCAAACUAUUAAUCAAACAAGACAGGUUUUAGCUUCACUCGGAAAAGCCACAGUCCACUCCCGUAGAGCAGCCAAAACAUAUUUAAUUAUUCAAAAGCCGUGUGCCGUUCGACUAAAACAAAAUUCCAAAUCAAGAAGCAAUUUUUUAAAAUAAAAACAAAAUUGCUUUUAGAAAAAGCUUUAGGUGGACACAAAAUUCCAAAAGCGCCAACACAUUUUCCACACAUUGGGAAUAAAACUUGUUUGCAAUUCAUAAUUGAUAGGAUACGACCAAAAGAAAAUAAAGAUAAUUAUUUGGAUAAAUUAUACUCAACCUCACUAAACUAUUAACAAAUUUAUAUUUUAAUUAUUUAACUUUAAAAAAUUAUAAGAUAAUUAUUAAACUAUUCAAUAGUUUUUAUUUAAGUCAUUGAACUAUUAAGGUUUUUUUUUAAAAAGUAGUUUGACUAGCUAGGUUCAAGCAACAAUUCAAUGAACAGUACAAUAGAUCAAUACUCAUUAACGAGUAUGUCGAAACCGCCUUUUCGAAAAUAAAAAUUUAGUUGUCGACUUUAAAAAUAAAAACUGAAGUUGCCACCGAUCCUUGAUUGAGGUGCGAUCGGUUCACCUUAAAAACAAUUUCGGCCUGCGAAAUUUGAGAAAACAAGUUCGGGAGUCAGUUACGCACGAGGAAGAGUUAGCACCCUUGUAACGCCCAAAAUCGGUACCAAAUUGAUUAUUUAAUAUCUUGGUGUCGAAAAUUUAAAAAGAUUUUAAAAUCAACUCAAAUGAUGAAAUUUGAAAAAGGAUAAUCAAUUGUUCAAGUCAUGUAAAGAAAUCGAGUCCCAAUACGUUAGGGUACAAUUCCUCAUAAUCCCCGAACUUUGAAUAUCACUUUUAUUUUAUGUAAAAAUCUUCAUUUUGAGAAAGUAAUAUGUCACACCCAAUACGUUAGGACACAACAAAUUAAGUUCCCGAAAAUAAUUUUUUAUACUCAUGCAUUUUGAAUAAAGAAUAUUCUCAGCUAUUUAAGAUAAACAAAGAAAAUCGGAACCCAAUACGUUAGGACUCAAUUUCCUAGAAAAUCCCAAACUUUGAAUAUUCCUUUAUUUAGGAAAAAAAACUUUGAAUCACGGGUAAAACUUUGAUGUAUUGUCAAAUCCAAAAUAUAUUUUCUAAAGGAUAUGUUAAAAAGUUGAUGUACAAUAUGAAACAAAACUUUAGUUUAAAAACAUAUGUGAAUAAAUAUCUGCAAAAUAUAUACAUACAAGUACAAUAUACAAGUAAAUUUGCAAAUGUGUGUACACAUAUAUUUAACACACAUAUACAAGGAUACCUAUAAAAAAUGGAAUGGAAUAUAUCAAUCAAAGACUAAUAAAAAAAUGCAUGUAUGUAUUUAAAAAUCGAAAAUAAACAAAAAGUAUGUAUAUGUAUAUGUAUAUAUAUUUACAAAAUAAAAAUGUAUAAGUAUAUAUGUGUUGGAAAAUCAUGAAAAUACGUAUAUGUAUAUUAAAACACUUAUAUAUAUAUAUGUAUAAUAAGUAUAUAAAUAAUGGGAUAUGUAUAGGAUAAUAUAUAUUUAUAAAAAAUGUGUAUUUUGAAUCGUAAAAUAUGGGAAACACGUGCAUUUUGAAAGGGAACGUUUGAAACAAAAAGAAUCAACAGAGGUAGAAAAAAACUAGCAGCAACAAAACUAAUGUGAAAACAAAAGAAGAGUGGAAAAGAUGGGAAAGUGGGGAAGUUGGACAUAUGGGAUGGAGAGACGUGGGAGAAUUUUGGAGAAAUAUUUUUAAUUAAUUUUUUCUUAAAAAAAUAUUAUCCUAACCAACAUAAUUUUUUUGAUAACCUAUCAAUUUAUUCAUAAUUCGAAUUUAACUAAACCGCUAACACAUGGGCAGCACACUUAGGGAGUUCCAAAAUUAAUUUUUGCUUUACAGGGAUUCAAACACGAGAUCUCUAAGCAAGCUGAAACUUUAUUAUUAAACUAGUAAAUUCAUUCUUAUUAAUAAUUAAGCAAAAAAUAUAUAUAAUUUAAAUAUUCAAGGAUAGGGGAUGGAACAAAAAUAAAAAAUUAAAAAAAAAAAGAUUUGCCUUAACUUUUGUUUCAUCAGUAGGCUUGUCUCAUAUCAGAGGAAAACUGCUUACAAAUGUGAGGCUAAGAUUUUUACGUUUCAGAAACAUGUAUAUAAAUGCUUCUCGGUUGGUCGAAAAUGAAGCAUAUAACACGGUUAUCUUAGUACAUAGAGUUCCCUGAAUUUACUACAUUUCGAUUUGUGUAACCUUAUUACAAAAACAAGUCUUCAAUAUGAGUCCCUACUUUGUUGUUAUUGUUUAUAGGAAGAAUAAAUUAUGUGAAACUCAACUUUCUUAAGCACCCUAACUUUUGUGAAUUUAGAUUAAAAGGGAGUUUAGUUCACAAAAUGUUUGAUUAACCUGACAAUUAGUGCAUUACUAGAUAUGUUACAGUACCGCGUUUGGUUCAAGGUAAAAGUUGAAAUAAUUCUAGACUCAAAGAUAUUUGAUUAUGGGUUUGUUCUUAGUAUAUAGUAAAUGAGUAAAAAGUUUUGAUUAAAAAAACUUUAUGGAAUUAUUAAUAUCAUUAAUUAAACAGUUAAAAAUUUUAAAAUGAUUAAUGUCGACUCUUUUUAUAAAAUAUUCGGGUGGGGAUUAGUAUAAAUCUGUUAAAAAAUUUUAAUCAUCAUUCCACAUAAGCCAAGAUUAGUAUAAAUCUGUUUUAUACAUUUUGUUAUAAGAAAUCGUACAUAUUUUUGUUAUGUCAUAUAAAAGUAUACAUGUUAUAUGUUUUGAUUGACAUUGUAUCAUCUAAUUUUUAAUAGAAAUAGUGAGUUUAAAAUUUAAAGGGGUUAUUUUACUAUUUAAAUAAUGAAUUUAACCAUUUAACAUCUAUUGAGUUAUUUAGAAUUUCUUUCUUCGGUUUAAAUUGAUUAAUUUCAAUCAAAUAGAUGCAAAUGAAGAACCAAUUAAUAAGAAGAUAAAAUUUUGAAAAAAUAAGCAAAUUGGGAGGCCGGAAGCCAGCAUUAGAUAUAUAGCAAACAAUCACUUCAUUCAAAGCUCAUACUAUAUGGCAAUCCAAUUCUUAUAAAAAAUACAUACACACACUUAAUGAAAUUAGAUAUCUGGGCAAAGUGCAUUCCAUAGCUGAUUUGGUAAACCUACAUCAAGAAAAAAAAUGGUAUGUAUAUAUCAUCAUCUCUUAUGUAUAAUAAUUAAAAAUAUGAAAUCAUAAAAUGAUAUUAAAAAUUUAGUUUUUCUAGAAAUAUAUUCAAAAUUCUUAUUUUUUUUAUAUUUUAAUUAUAAUUUUUAUGGUAAUUAAAGAUAUAUUCUUCUAUUCCGUUAUUUUAUCAAUAUUAUAUCAAUCUCUAACUCUAUGGGUGAAAAAGAAAAGAAAAAAGAAUGUAAAAAUUAUUAUUUUAUAGAAAUAAAUACCUCACGUGAUGUUGGCUCCUAUUAUUUUGGAAUAAAUAAUGUGGAUAGAGGGAAUGUGGCGCACUUUAUAGAAUUCCUCUCCUUCUCUUCCAUCUAUCCCUUUAAUCCUUUCUUCCAACGACGAAGACAUUCCUCUUAAAUUCAAUUCUUGGAGAGUAGUAAUGUAGCUCAAUCCUUCUGGAAGCAUCCUUAAACUCUUAAUAUAGACCAACUCCAAUUCUCGAAGGCAUGGCAUUGCACCUUCUUCUAUUACCCACUCCUUCAACUGAGGUAAGCACCACAUAUGAAGAUAAUCAAGUUUAGGAAAUCCAUUUGCAGAGCACACCAUUUUACUCCCAAUAUAUGCGUCCUUCAAAUAGAGAAUCCUCAAAUGACAUAGCUUUUCUAAUACCGCAAUUGGAUCUUGUAUGAGCUUACAGUAAAACAAAGUUAAUUUGACAAUAUUUGAUGGAAGAAAGUUCAAAACAUGACCGUUCGGAUGUGGCUCAUCUUCUAUCCCACCCACUAGUUUCAGUUUGGAGAGGUGAUAAUAUUGAGAAAGGGGUUCUAAGUCUAGGUGUGAGACAUCAAAAAAACAUAAGGAUACUGACCUAAGGCGUUGCAAUUUGGCUAGCAAGAUUAGGGUAGGCUUCACAUAUUCUGCUCCGGUAAAUGCUAUUCCUAAACUCUGAAUAUUAGUCCACCUAAGCACCGCAUUAUUUUCAGCCGCCUUCUCAUCCACCUCUAUGAACUUCAAAGUUUCAAUAUUUUUUGAACUGAACCCUUGCCGCCAACGAAAUCCAUUUUCGGACAAUAGCUCAUUAUCCAUUUUUAUUACAAUAUGCCUUAAACGUUCUAACUUAAACACACCAUCUGGAAUUACAAUGUCAUCACAAAACUUGAUGUAUAAAGUGUACAGAUUCUUCAACCUGCCAAUAGAUCCAGGCAAAAUCACUUUGUUGUUGUAGUAAAACUUCAAGUAUCUCAAAUGUUGGAGAUUACCAAUUUCAGUCGACACAUGCCACCCGUAGUUGCUCCUUUUUGCAAGAGUCAACACCCUUAAAAAUUUGAAGCUUUUGUAUUUUGAAAUGCACAAUUCUACCAAUUUCUCGGAAUGAGAAAACAACAAAGAGCGUAAUUUUGGAUGCUUUCCCUUCAAAUAAACUUUCGAUUUACUAGGAUGAAUAGAAAUCCUUCGUAGCAUAGAUUCUGCCAAUGUCACUUCAAGUUCAUGCAGUGGUUGUUGAAUAAUUUCCAAGAACUUCUCUUCUCUUGCUUUCUUCAUGCACAAGUCCCUCAAGAGAUCAUGCACUCGACAUGUCUUCACAUUUGUUCCUGUAUAGUCUCGCCUGCUAACUUGAACCAAGCUCCUAUCUAUAAGCUCUUCUAGGAAUUUUUCCCCUAAAUCCUCCAUCAAGAAUUCUUCGUUUUCCGGAAUGAAACCUUCAGCGAUCCAUAAACGAAUGAGUUCUUUUUUCGGUAUCUCCCAAUCUUCUGGAUAAUGACUAAGAUACAAAAAGCAGGGUUUUAAAGGAUAAGGCAAGUCAUUGUAGCUUGAAACCAAAAUUCGGUUCACUGCACCAUAUUGACGAUCUUGGUGUGGGAGCUCAUUUAAGUGUCCAUGGAUGUUUUUAUGAACCAUCUCCCACUGAGCCACUGACUGUUUUGUUGCCAGCAAGCAACCCAACACAACAAUUGCUAAAGGCAAGCCUCCACAUUUUUUCACCAUCUCUUUUCCAAGCUUCACAAAUUCUUCUGAGCAGCAUUGAGAACCCAUUUUGCUCCGUGGGAAUGCUUUCUUACACAGAAGAUUCCAACUUUCAUCAUCCGUAAGAAAUGAGAGCUCGAUGGGAGUGUUGCAAGAAUCGGCUCGUGAAGCCACAUUCCUGUUGCGUGUUGUGAACAAUAUUUUGCUUCCCUUUCUUCCUCGUGGAAAAGCAGGUUUAAGAAUAUCCCAAUCCUCGCUUCUCCAAAUAUCAUCGAGGACCACCAAAUACCGCUUUUCUUUCAAAGCAUCAAAAAGCGUUCUCGUCAGCUCAAUCUCGUCCAUUUUCUCAAUUUUCUCCCUAUCAUUGUUAGAAGGAGAGAGAACUUUCUUCAAGACACUAAGCAAAACCUCUCUCGGCUUACAUUGUUGAGAGAUAGAAAACCAAGCCAAGAAAUCAAAAUGGCGUCUCACAUCAACAUGAUUAUAUACUUUUCUGGCAAGAGUAGUCUUACGGAGGCCCCCCAUGCCGACUAUGGAAACUACGGCGUGGGGUCUAUCUUCUUCAGUCAUCAAUUUGGUCAUGACAUCCUUGGUGCUAACCUCCAAGCUAACAACGUCCUCUUCCUCGACAUGUGAGUAUGCCCUUCUUAACCGUUGCUGCACCUUGAAAAUUGAGCUAGAGCCUUCUCCAUCACCGGGUAUCUCAAAAGCUGGAAGAUUCUCGGAAAUGUUUUGGAGCUCGGUCUUGAUUGCUUUGACCUGCACCCCGAUUUUGUGCAGAUGAUAAGGUUUGGUGAAAAUGGAGGUGAACCUCUUGACAAUCCCAUGAGAAUCUCGUUGAUAUGCUGCUUUAAGAAUAAAAGAGUCGAUGACAUCUUCAGCAUCAUAAGCAAGAUCUCUGAUUUCCGACACCCGAUUCUGUAAACGCGCAUCUUGUUCAAGAUUGCGAUCCGCGUCCUUCAAGAAACACUGCGUUCGCUUCAGUUCAGCCCUUAGGCUCUCAACUUGAUCUUUCACAUCUUUGAGGAAAACAGCUUCAUGGAUGAGUAAAUCUGAAAUUCUUUCAACAGCUAAGGACACAAUAGCCUCUUCCAUUUCUCCUGCUCGUCCAGAACAGAUUCCACAAACUGAUCUGCAAGUAUUAGUAGAUUAUUUUAUGUAUUAGUGGUGGAAGUAUUUCUCUUCAUCAGAAGUUUUGGAGAUUUAUUUUUGGGGGUGAGGUUGAUAGUUAUUUUUCUUUGGACAGUAAAUAGCUGAACAUAUUAUUAUUAUGAUUAUUAUUAUUAUUAUUAUUAUUAAUGUGAAGAAAACGUAAGGUAAAGUUAUCAUCACUGACAUUAUAAAAUUAUUAUAAAAUUAAUAGGCCAACCUCAAUUCAAUUCUUCCAAAAAAAUAUUAUUCAAAUAUUCAAAAGUUUUUAUUUAAGUUACUAAAUUAUUUAAAAAAUUUUAUUUAAAUAAUUGAACUAUUAAGUCUGUUGACACCAUUUUUUUGAUGAAAACGGGGUCAACUUGGGUUUUAAAAAGUGAAAAUGAAAACGGGAAUCGCCACAAAUCCUUUUUGAUAAGGUGUGAUCCGGUCACCUUGAAAAGUGGUUGUAUUUAAUAAACGAUUUGACUUUAUUAAAACAACGAUUUUGGUCCACAAAAUUUAGAAAAACAGGUUUGAGAGUCGGUUAUGCACGAGGAAAUAUUAGCACCCUCGAUACGCCCAAAAUUGGUACCUAGUUGAUUACUUAUGUCUUAGUGUCGAAAAAUUGAAAACUUUAAAGAGAUUUAAAAUACGAUCCUAAAAAACUUGAAUGACAUGGAUUAAGAUUUAAGAGUAUAUUUGGCUAUUUGGUCCAACGAGAAAUCGAAACCCAGCACAUUAGGGCACGUUUUCUCGAAGUUCCAAACGCAAAACAUUGCCUUAUUUUGAAAUUAUUAAAAGGAUAUUUGGAUAUUUGGUCAAACGAGAAAAUCGAAACCCAACACAUUAGGGCACAUUUUCUCAAAUCUCCAAGCGCAAAACAUUACCUUACUUUGAAAAUUUAAAAGGAUAUUUAGCUAUUUGGUCGAACGAAAAAAGUCGAAACCCAGCACAUUAGGGCACGUUUCUCAAAUCUCCAAACGCAAAAUAUUACCUUACUUUGAAAAUUUAAAAGGAUAUUUAGCUAUUUGGUCGAACGAAAAAAAUCGAAACCCAGCACAUUAGGGCACGUUUUCUCAAAUCUCCAAACUCAAAAUAUUACCUUACUUUGAAAAUUUAAAAGGAUAUUUAGCUAUUUGGUCGAACGAAAAAAAUCGAAACCCAGCACAUUAGGGCACGUUGUCUCGAAUUUCCAAAUGCAAAACAUUGCCUUUAUUAUUUUUUAGAAAAAUCCUCAUCCCGAGAAAACAACGUGUCAUAUCCAAUGCGUUAGGACACAACGUAUUGAAUUCCCGAUAAUGAGCUUUUUAUUUAUGUUUUUAAAAGAGUAACCUCGAUUAUUUAGAUUCAACGAAGAAAAUCAGAACCCAAUACGUUGGGGCUCGAUUCUCUCGAAGAUCCCAAAUAUCGAGUAUUACUUAUGUUUUGAAGUUUUUCAUUUUUUUGUCAAACCCGAGUGAAAAUGGAUGUAAAACCAUGAUAAUGAUGAUAAUGUAAAUAAAUAACACGAGCGAAACAAAAGAUAAUUAAAUAAUAAAUGUAAAAACAAUUGUGCAGGCAUAAUAGCAAAUAAUAAACAGAUAAAAACUAAAGCAUGAAAAAAUAAUAGUAACGGACAUGUAAAUAAUUGAGCAAAGUUAACAACAUUAUAAAAAUAUAAAAGAUAUAUAUAUACAUAUAAAAUUAUGAAAAUAUGAAAAACAUAUGCAUGUAUACAUAUUUUAAAAUUAUUAUACAUGAAAAAUUAUGUAAAUAUGUAUGUGCAUACAUACAUACGUAUAUAACAAUUAUCAACUAUAAGAAAGUAUAUAUAUAUAUAGGUACGUACAUAUAUAUAAUAAAUAUAUAUAUACAUAUGGUUACAAAAAUAAGAAUAAGACAUGUAUAUAUAUACUCCAGGUUUAUAAAAUAUAAGAGUAUGUAAAUAUGUAUAUAUAUGCGUAUGAAAAUAAAGCUAACAGAACAGUAAUAGAAACUAGUUAAUGUAUUAAUAAAAUUGUAACGACUAAAUGAAAGGGAAAUAAAACUAAUAAAAAUUGAUGAUAAUAAUAAUAAUAAAUGAUAAUAACAUUAAAAUAAUGAACAAAAUAAUAAAAUUGCUACAAAAGGGACUAAAUUGAAAUGAAACAAAAAAACAGGGCGAAUUCGAAAUAAAAAGACUAAAAAGACUAAAUUGUGACACGCGCGGAAAGAGGGGGACCAAAAUGGUAAAUAAACCAAACCUCCAAAAAUGCGGCACUGCAGUGGACUAAAAUGAGACCAAAAUAAAACUUUGUGGCUAAAUUAAAAUAAAAAAAAUAAUGAAAAAGGGUCAAAUUGCAACGCGCUGCAAAGUUGGAAGGACUGCGCGCGGAAAUAUCCCAUUUGAAAAAAACGUGGAUCCUUGGCAGAGCGGGUCGGGUCUCGAGUCGGAUGGUACAAAACGAUGCCGUUUUGGCGUUUUAAAGGGCUGAGCAAAACGACGUCGUUUUGCUCCCCUAUUUAAACUAAUUUUUUUCAAAAAAAUUCAUUCUUCUCUCUUCUUGGCAAAAAAAAAAAAUCUCAAACACUCUCAACUCCCCUCCCCCUCUCCAGGCACCGGCCUCAGGUCCGGUGAAAGGAUCGUCGUCUGUCGCCGGCGAAGGGGCAAAAGAGUUUUUUUUUUAUUAAUGCAGGCGGUGUGAGCAAUGAAUGCCAUGUAACAUUGAUUUUAACAACUCAAUAACUUAAAUAAAAAUAUUCAAUAGUUUAGUGGUCAUUUUGUAAUUUUUUGAAGUUAAUUGACCAAAACGUAAACUUACUAGUAGUUCAGUGACCUUUGGAAUAGUUUACUCCAAUUAUUUAUUAUUUUCUGUGUUAUUUUUAUACAAUACCUGAAUUACCCAUAAAUAAACUUCACAAUUUUUAAAGUGGAAGAUAUUAGGCUAUUCUUUUUACUCAGCCAAUAUAAAAUUUUAUCAAGAAUGAAAGGACCACUUAGAAAAAUUUGAGAGAAAAUUGAUGAGUGAAAGAAAAUAAAACAAGCAGGGAUGUUUGAGUUUUAAUGGUGAUUUUCUUAAGAAGAGAAAUUUAUUUAUUUGAGGAGGAUAGAUACAUAAUUUACAUAAAAUAAGAUUCAAACUUAAACUUAAAAUUUCAAAAUUUAUAAAAUUAUUUUAAAAUUUACAUAAAAUAAGAUUCAAUUCAAUUCUUCCAAAUUAGUAUAAAAUUACAAAAUAUUUAAUCAUUCAAAGGCAAUUUUUAAAAUAAAAAAGCAAAAUUGCUUUAAAAAAAUGCUUUAGGUGGACACAAAAAGCAAUGGGUGUCAAAAUUCCAAAAGCGUCAACUGAUUUUCCACACAUUGGAAGUAAAAGUUGUUUGCAAUUUCAUUUCGUCCAAAUGACAACUACUUGAACACCCAGCAGUCGUUGCUCAUAAUUGAUAGGAUAAGACCAAAAGAAAAAAAAAUAAUUGUUUGGAUAAAUUAUACUCAAGUUCAUUAAACUAUUAAUAAAUUUAUAUUUUAAAUAUUUAAUUUAGAAAAAUUAUAGUUAUUAAACUAUUCAAUAGUUUUCUUUUAAGUCAUUAAACUAUUUAGAAGUUUUUGUUUAAGUCAUUGAACUAUUAAGUUCUUUUUUUUUAAAAAAAAGAGGCAGUUUGGCUAGCGAGGUUCAAGCGACAAUUUGAUGAACAGUACUAUGAAUCAAUACUCAUCAACGAAUAAAAGAACAUAUAUUAGAUCAUGUCAAUCUAAUGGUCGGUAUCCAAGAACAGAGGAGAGCUGUUUGGAUUUUAACACUGUUAUCUUAGUACAUAGAGUUUCCUGAAUUUACUACAUUUUGAUUUGUGUAACCUUAUUAAAACAAGUCUUCAAUAGAAAGUUGAGUCGCUACUUUGUUCUUAUUGUUUAUAGGAGGAAUAAAUUUCUUAAGCACACAAACUUUUGUGAAUUUAGAUUAAAAAGGGAGUUUAGUUCACAAAAUGUUUGAUUAACCCGACAAUUAGCGCAUUACUAGAUAUGUUACAGUACCGUGUUUGGUUCAAGAUAAAGUUGAAAUAAUUCUAGACUCAAAGAUAUUUAAUUAUUGGUUUGUUCUUAGUAAAUAGUAAAUGAGUAAAAAGUAUUUAAUACUUUAUGAUGAUUUUGACUAAAAAAACUUUAUGGAAUGAUUAAUAUCAUUGAUUAAACGGUUAAAAGUUUCAAAAUAAUUAAUGUCGACUCUUUUUAUAAAAUAUUCGGGUGGGAUGGGCGUCUUAUAGUUUGAACUUGUGUCAAAUGGGUACCUGAUAAAAAAUUUAAUCAUCACUCCAUAUAAGUCAAGAUUAAUAUAACUCUUUUUUAUAAAUUUUGUUACAAGAAAUCGUACAUAUUUUUGUCAUGUCAUAUAAAAGUAUACAUGUUAUAUGUUUUUGUAUCAUCUUACUUUUAAUUGAAAUAGUGAGUUGUAAAUUUAAAGGGGUUGUUUUACAAUUUAAAUAAUGAAUUUAACCAUUUAACAUCUAAUGAGUUAUUUAGAAUUUCUUUCUUUGAUUUAAAUUAGAUUAAUUUCAAUCAAAUAGAUGCAAAUGAAAAAACCAAUUAAUAAGAAGAUAAAUUUUUAGAAAAAUAAGCAAAUUGGGAGGCCAGAAGCGAGCAUUAGAUAUAUAACAAACAAUCACUUCAGUCAAAGCUCAUAGUAUAUAGCAAUCCAAUUCUUAUAAAAAAUACAUACACACACUUAAUGAAAUUAGAUAUCUCGGCAAAGUGCAUUCCAGUUGAUAAACUAUAAAAGUAACAUAUUUUAAUCCCAUUCUUAAUGUGUUGGAUGAUUUAUUAUUUAAUUUAGUGAAUUUGAUGCUCCUAAUCAUUUAAUUUCAUGUUUCUAUACUUAUGUGAGCAUAGGGGAACAAAAGGAGCGGAAAACGGGCCAAAAACGAACAAAACAGACCGAUUUAAGGAUCCACAUGGCUAAGACCAUUUCUGCACGGGCUGACCACACGCCCGUGUGUGCCACACGGGCUUGCCACACGCCCAUGUGCCAGCCCGUGUCGAAUUUGCUCCUUAUUUCCCAAACACGCAGAAAAUGCCAAUUUUUAGGGUUUCUAAGCAUUCUAAAGUCUAUAAAUACACACUAGAAGAGGACCUAAGGGGCACGCAAAGCUGAACGAAGAAAAGACUUGAAGAAUGCUAGUGGGUUCAACUCAGAAGUAGGAUCUCCUUCAAGACUGAAGAUCUCCAUUCAAUUUCUCUCGAAGUUUUUGGGUUUCUUUAUGUUUUCUUGUUUUCCUAAUUUUGAGAUGUUUUCCUCCCCAAGUAUGAACUAAAUUCCCUAGACAUCUAGGGAGGAUGAAACCUAAGGCUGAACUUAUUAUUUGAUUUUUCUGAAUUACAUGAUAAAUAUUUGUCCUUGAUCUCAAUUAUGUGUUCUUAUUUCAUGUUUUAAUGUUUUCAAGAUAUUAGUUCAUGAUUGGUGUGCUUAUUCAGUGGAGCAAAAGUCCCUAUUUAAGAGUAGAUCUAGCAUAAUUGAAUAGAGUUGCAUGCAAUCCUAGAAAUAGGACGACAUAAACCUAUCGAAUUAGAGUCAAAUCUAAUAGGAGAAUCCAUAGAUCGGAUUAGAGUCAAACCUAAUAGGAGAAUCCAUAGAUCGAGUUAAUACGAUAAUAGGGGUUUUAAUUAGAAAGAGAUUUCAAUUAAUCAACAUAGAGUUAGUUGUUUUUAUUCUCGAAACAGAUAUUAACAAAAGUUAGGGAUUUCUACAGAUCAAGACAAGUGAAUAAAUCGUUUAAUUCAGAUUUAGAAUAAUAAAAUAUUCGGGUGGGAUGGGCGUCUUAUAGUUUGAACUUGUGUCAAAUGAGUACCUGAUAAAAAAUUUAAUCAUCACUCCAUAUAAGUCAAUAUUAGUAUAACUCUGUUUUAUACAUUUUGUUACAAGAAAUCGUACAUAUUUUUGUCAUGUCAUAUAAAAGUAUACAUGUUAUAUGUCUUUUUAUAAAAUAUAUGGUAUUUAAUACUUUAUAAUGAUUUUGAUUAAAAAAACUUUAUGGAAUGAUUAAUAUCAUUGAUUAAACGGUUAAAAGUUUCAAAAUGAUUAAUGUUGACUCUUUUUAUAUAAUAUUCGGGUGGGGAUGGGAGUCAUAUAGUUUGAACUUGUGUUAAAUGGGUACUUGAUAAAAAAGUUUAAUCAUCAUUCCACAUAAGCCAAGAUUAGUAUAAAUCUGUUUUAUACAUUUUGUUAUAAGAAAUCGUACAUAUUUUUGUUAUGUCAUAUAAAAGUAUACAUGUUAUAUAUUUUGAUUGACAUUGAAUCAUCUAAUUUUUAAUAGAAAUAGUGAGUUGUAAAUUUAAAGGGGUUAUUUUACUACUUAAAUAAUGAAUUUAACCAUUUAACAUCUAAUGAGUUACUUAGAAUUUCUUUCUUUGUUUUAUAUUGAUUAAUUUCAAUCAAAUAGAUGUAAAUGACCAAUUAAUAAGAAGAUAAAUUUUUGAAAAAAUAAGCAAAUUGGGAGGCCGGAAGCCAGCAUUAGAUAUAUAGCAAACACACAAUGAAAUUAGAUGUCUCGGCAAAGUGCAUUCCAGCGCUGAUUAGGUAAACCUACAUCAAGAAAAAAAAUGGUAUGUAUAUAUCAUCAUCUCUCAUGUAUAAUAAUUAAAAAUAUGAAAUAAUAAAAUGAUAUUAAAAAUUUAGUUUUUCUAGAAAAAUAUUCAAAAUUCUUAUUUUUUUAUAUUUUAAUUAUAAUUUUUAUGGUAAUUGAAGAUAUAUUCUUCUAUUAUGUUAUUUUAUCAAUAUUAUAUCAAUCUCUAACUCUAUGGGUGAAAAAGAAAAGAAAAAAGAAUGUAAAAAUUAUUAUUUUAUAGAAAUAAAUACCUCACGUGAUGUUGGCCCUUGGGAUCGGAUUAAUAAUGUGGAUGGAGGGAAUGUGGCGCACUUUAUAGAAAUCCUCUCCUUCUUUUCCAUCUAUCACUUCAAUCCUUUCUUUCAAUGACGAAGAUAUUCCUAACAUUAAAUUCAAUUCUUGGAGAGUAGUAAUGUACCUCAAUCCUUCUGGAAGCAUUCUUAAACUCUUAACAUGGAUCAACUCCAAUUCUCGAAGGCAUGGCAUUGCACCUUCUUCUAUUUCCCACUCCUCCAGCUUUCUUAAAAUCAUUCCAAGAAAAUCAAGUUUAGGAAAUCCAUUUGCAGAGCACACCAUUUUACUCCCAAUAUAUGCUCCCUCCAAAUAGAGAAUCCUCAAAUGACAUAGCUUUUCUAAUACCGCCAUUGGAUCUUGUCUCAGCUCAUUAUCAAAGUUAAUUUGACAAUAUUUGAUGGAAGAAAUUUCAAAACAUGACCGUUCGGAUGUGUCUCAUCUUCUAUCCGACCC
This 54154-nucleotide long non-coding RNA is filed under the name Gossypium barbadense (sea-island cotton). Its description in RNAcentral is "long non-coding RNA (GBAR_LNC020399)". Lineage: Eukaryota; Viridiplantae; Streptophyta; Magnoliopsida; Malvales; Malvaceae. The record is from RNAcentral.